Molecule: long non-coding RNA, 78770 nt
Filed under: Capsella rubella
Lineage: Eukaryota; Viridiplantae; Streptophyta; Magnoliopsida; Brassicales; Brassicaceae
Description: long non-coding RNA (CRUB_LNC004643)
Rfam family: tRNA (bases 1655-1727)
Source: RNAcentral
CCGGGAACAACGGAGUUCCUGGAAACGGGUUUCCUGUAUUUGGAGUAGUUCCGUUAGACGUCGGAGGAGUUGUUCCCGUUGGUGGUGUUGUCGAUGGAGGUGACCUUGUAGAAGAGCUGUUACAAAAAAAAAAAAAAGUAAACUUCAAAAUAUUAAUACGAAUGAGACAGCUUUAAGUUAAUGGAAGAAGUGAUCAUACAUACCUAGGACUUGAAGGAUAGAUGCAGCCAGUAGCCAAAUCUGCACACAAACAAAAAGACAUCAUCAUGAUCAUGAAUUUUUCUCAACAUAAGCCGUAGACUUUUAGGGGUAGUGGACUUUACUGGAAGGUGGGUUUUGAUUGGUAGUGGCAGUGCCGGAGAAAUCGCAGCUUCCAGUGACUUGAGCUGCGUUCUGGAAGUAGCUGUUAACAGCCCAAUCACAGUGGCUUUUGAUGGUGUUAGGUUGAUAACAAGGACCCUUGUCAUGGAUUGGAUUACAAUCAGCUAAGGUUCCACAUGCAUAGUCUAUUGCUGUUUGAAGCUCUUUGUCUCCUAUCCCAUCUUUGCAGACACAGUAAAUUGCACCUAGAGGGAGAGAGACAUAGCUUUAGAUUGAAAUCUAUGAUUUAAAAGAUCAUUGCUUCACAGAAAGCUUUGAUUAAGGAAACAUGAAUAUAAGAACUAAACCAAAAAAAAAAAAGAAGAAGAAGAAAGCUUUACUUGAAGAUUUGGUAAAGGCCAAGAGAAGAAGCAAAAGACCCAGAAGCACUUCCAUGAUGACUAGUAGUAAUUAAGAUCGCUGGUUAGGAGAAGCACAAAAUAUACUUUGACCUUAGGAGGAAGAACUUAAGAUGAUGGCUUUAGAAAGAGAGGGUGAGAGAAGAUGUACACAGAACUUAAGAGAGUAUUAGAAAAUGAAAGGUGGUUUAAUAAAAAUAAUUGGGACAAAAAAAGACUUGUAUAUAAGUCAGUGUUUUGGUUCUACAUGUUUUUAAUAAACAUUUUAUUUUUGUUUUAUUGAAAUGAUUAUAAUAGGUUGAUUCAUAACGUAUUGAAAAAGAAAGAGUUGAAAACUGACAUGUAUUGACGAACUACGUAUAGAAGAUCAUAUAUUCUUCAUAUGCGUGGCAAUAUGUAGAAUAAAAAAAGUUUCUUCCUAAAUUGUCAAUAUCAUACUACUACGUGCUAUUGUUCAUUUUAAAAUUCUUCGAUUGUGAAUUUUCUUGGAUACGAGUCACAAACUUUUUGAGCAAACUAAAACAGUUUUUGAAAUUUUGCAUGUUGUGACCUGUAACAUAUUCUGAUGAAACGUCUCUAAAUUUAAUAGUAGUACUCUUUUUUCUUUUGAAGGGUGGUAUACUUCUCGUGUGUCUGUGUGUACCUCAAUAAAACGGUAAUUGAUAAGUUUGAACACAAGUUUGUUUGUUAAUGGUUGGAGUUUUAAUUUUAAGAAUGGUUUCGACUAUUUAUUCAUCAUCAUCUUACAUAUGUUAUGCCAAUGUUCCAACUUUAAGCAUACAGUAUAUACGUGAGAGUGUAUAUUAUUUUUUCUAUAUUAAUUCCUUUCCCAGAUGAAAAUUGUGUUUUAGACACUUUAGAGUGGUUCAGGCGUUCAGCGUGGUGGGAUCUAUGAGUAACAUUAUGUAGAUGAUACAGUUCACAUUGAACAUCAUGGGGAUGUAGCUCAAAUGGUAGAGCGCUCGCUUUGCAUGCGAGAGGCACGGGGUUCGAUCCCCCGCAUCUCCAAAUUCUCUUACAUAAAGAUUUUUGAACAUUUUUUUUGUUUGUGGGCUAGAGACAAUAAAACAGCUACAUAGAGAACAAGGGAGGCAGAAAUGAAAAAAGCAGCGGACAAAAAAUGGAAGCAGAACCUAGUCUCUUCAUGCAUGCAACGUUUGACCAUAAGAAAAAGUCAUUCAGGCCACCAAGUGAAUCAUAGCUGUAAUAGAAAUCACAACCGAGACUUCUUAUACCAUCCUCAAUGCAAGCAUCUUAGGGAGUAUCUUAUCCUAAGAUUUGCAAAGAGAAUACCUUAUAUAAGAUUCUCUCUUUGCAAAUCUUAGGGUAAGAUACCCCCUAAUAUGCUUGCAUUGAGGAUGGUCUUAGUAGUACCUUGCAGCAUAUUUCAUGGUACAAGCUGGCAUGGUUCAAGCUUGGCAAUGUUGAUCAAAUGGACUGAGUCAUGGAAAAUUAAGAAAUAAAAUCGUUUGGUAUGAGGAACUUGUUUUGAUAUGAGAUUUGUGGAGGAGGAUAGGAUAUUGUGCAUAAAGAAAACAGAGUAUCAACUUUGAGUGAUGCAACUUUGAGUAUCAACAGAGGACCAGCUUUAUUUUUUUUAACUAUAUAUAACUAAUACGAACCAUGAGUGAAAUGAAGCAUCAGGUAUUACAUAUAUAUGGGGGACAAAGAUGUCUCUGCGUAUAUAAUAACCAAGUCUUUUAAGUCAUAAUUCAUAAAAGCAUCGCAAGUUUGGAGUUACAAAACAUUGAAACUGCCGACUUAGGUGGUGGAUUUGGCUUUUUGCGCCUCCUUCUAAACAAUUUGGGGAUGCCGCCGCAAACCCUAGCUCAAUAUACAUAUACAUAUACAUAUACUAUAUAAAUCAAAGAGCUUGCAUUGUAUCACAAGGUAAAAACACCAAAGAGCUUGUAUAUAUAUGUAUAUAGUGUUCUACUACUCCAUAGUCUUCUUCUUUAUAGAGCUUUCUUAGGUAAAGAACGACCUAGAGUAACCCAUGAAACUAUUGAGAGGUUUUAAUUUGAUACCAGGAAAGCAAGAAUCAAUAAAUAAUAAAACAUUGUUAUGUUUAGACUUUAGACUUCAGGUUUUGAUUUGUUAAAAAUGGGAUGUUUGCUAUAUAGUUAAUACACAAGCUUAGUUAACAAAUGGGGAUGUAGCUCAAAUGGUAGAGCGCUCGCUUUGCAUGCGAGAGGCACGGGGUUCGAUCCCCCGCAUCUCCAUAAUAUUCAGCUUUUUUCUUUUUCUUUUUUUUAAAUAAAAUAUAUUACCACACAAUUAGAGGAUCCUACAGAAAAGUAAUUACGAAACGAGGAAAAUAAAACUGAAAACAAAUACAUAUCUGAGAUGAAGGACUAACAAAAAUAUAUGGAAGAAAAAAUAUAAAACUGCAAUUCUGUUUGCAAAACAGAAAAAUAAAAGAAAAAAAAUAUGUAAAGAAUGUUUGUAAUCUGAUAAAAUCUUCCACUGGUAAGAAAAUCCCAGUCUCCAUUUCCAUCUUCUUGAUUUCUCUCCAGAAUUUGCAAGCAACAUUUGUAUCAGUUCAGCAAUGUGUAACUCUGAUUCAUUCUAAUGAGAGAAGAGAACUCAGUCACUAUGUAUAAAAGAUUAUGACAUUUGUGAGUUCUUGAAUUCAAAGCUCAGAGAACUGUUGAAAGAAUAGAGAGAGAGAGAGCACGAAAGAGAGAGAUUACCUAUGAAAAAUAUACUGUACUUGUAGUGUCGAUGGUGUAGAGAAGCAAAUUUUUUGACAGUUUGCUGAUUUUGCUUCUUUUCUUUAGUUACUUUUUCAGGAAUGGUUUUUGACAAACUAGGAGCCGUUGGUCACUACCGUCUUGAAUAUCAAUGACCCGUGCUUCCCAACGUACACGAGCAGCUAGUGUACGCGCCAUCUCUAUCACUCCAAGCUUAUCGCUUAGCACGACCCAUCCCUAUCAAUCAAUCAGGAUAUACUAAGUUUAUCUCAGCUUAUGAUAAGUUUCUAGUUAGGAUCAUAUGAGAUAUUUUGGGAGUGUAGAAAAGAACCUCAGGGCGGAGAAUCCUGUCCAUUUCCAAGAAUAAGUCCAUUAGGCUGCAUCGUUCUGAGCUAAGAUGUGUAAGAAGUUCAUUGGCAUGAAGCAUGUCAUAAGUUCGCGGAUAUGUAGGGAAUGGUUCACACCUGCACAGCAUUAAAUGGCCAAGAAACAAAUGUUAUAAGCGAAAAGGAGGAUAUAAGCAAAACAAAACAUUCUCGAGUCAUCUAAAGAGACCUAAGGGAGAUAAAUGUGAUUAACAACAUGAAAUCUAAGAAAACACACUCACCAGUCAUGUAGAACGCCAGCAAAACCUCGAUCAAGUAUAAUAGGAAGAGUAUUACGUGCUUUGACUGGGACGACAUUCAUCACCCAAACUGAUUUCCCUUGGUUAAGGAAGGCAUGAUUCAGAUUCCCAUAACGAGCAUUCAUGUCCAUGGCAUUGCGUAUCAUAUAAAAAGGAGGGACAGGAUCUUCAUCACCAGGUCUUUUGGGAUGGUCUGAGAAAAUCAAAGGUGUAAGCAAGGACCAAUAGUUUUUAAGGGCUGAUCUCCAUACUUGUAUGUCCUCAUCGAAUUCUUCAGGUUUAAUACCUGUUGAAAGAAAUUUAUCACAGAAGAACAUUAACCGCCAGAAACUAAUGAGCAAUGAAAACAGAGUGACUAGUUCCGACGAAAUCAACAGUUACCAUGAAUUUCAAGCUCAAACAAACUAGUUCCGGAAGCUUUAGACCUAUUCUGAAUAGGAAUCCAGCGUUUACUCUUGGUUCCACUUAUACAUGGAACAAGAGGUUGGUAAUACGGAACACCAUUAUCAUCUUUGCAAAGAGGUAUAGAAGCUUGCGAGCUACAACAAGCAAGAAAAAGAAAGAACAACAUCAGUGUGACUGUGAGUGAAGAAACCAAACUUCAGGACUCUGUUCUCAUACUCACCGAGAUGAAUAGCAAUUUGGAUCUGCUGUUUUCUGCCAAAGAAACGUCUCAUCUUGCUGACCUGAGAGACUCCAGCAGAUUUUCUUAGAUAACUCAUCCACACGUGUUGAGAUACUUGUUUUCUUAGCAUCAGGAGAAUUUCCAUGUGCUUUGCUUGUAGGAGAAGUUAAAACAAAAUAACCCCCAGGCUUGAGGAUACGAUCCACUUCCAAGAGUAGCAUUGAAUCUGCUUAAGGUCAAAUAAUUGAAAGCACUGUCACUUUAUAGAAGUUCUAUUACUGUCACUUUAUAGAAGUUCUAUUACUGUCACUUUAUAGAAGUUCCAUUUCAAAGCCUCAAAUUCAUAGACCCAAGAUAAGUGAAAAAUUAUAAACCAUACCAGAUAAAUACCUUUUAUAUCCCAAGUAAUCCCACAUUGAGCACAAUGGACCAUGUCAAAUGAUAAAGCUGGAUAUGGAAGCUGUUUUGAAAAGAAAUUUCCAAUCACUGCAGGAAGGCCUCUCUCUAGAGCUAGCUGGACUUGGCUUCCACUUGCCUCAUACUCUGCUAUACAUAUAGGCAUCACGUUCAAAGACACUAGAUGUGCACCAAAGCUACCAAAUCCGCAACCAAUAUCCAAAACAGUCCGUAUCUGCAAGCAGUGGAAGGCAAUAUAAAGAGUUCUUAUGUGAUAAACAUAACUAACACAAAACGAUCAAUGAUAAGAGGAAAGAAGGCAAAUCAACUUACACCAGCUUGGGGAAACUCGGUAUCGCUUCCUAAUCCAAUCAUCUCAGCAAUUUGAAAAGCGUAAUCUUUAACCCCGUCAAAGAUCAAGCCAUCUUCCGAGUGAAACGUAAUUUGAUUCUCUUCAAGCAGCAUUAGCCUAAUAACAAGCAGUAGAAUAGAUUAAGAUGGCACAACACCAGCUGAAACUGCAUAACAAAAAAAAAUCUUACUAAAGCUUGGUGAUCUCAGAUACCUUUUGGUCAUAGUUCCUGAUGAAAGAAACUGAUCUUUAGUAAUCUUCACAUUCCCACUCCAUACAAUAUCUCUACCAACAGGCCAUCUAAGUGGUAUCUUAUAAUCUCUCGGAGGACGAACUACACAUCUUUCCUCUUCUCUUGCAGACCCACAAUUCCGAUCAGCAAGUAUAGUCUCUGAUACGUUAUAACAAGGAACAUAGUUCUCUCUUUCUUUGCCACAUAAAGGAAACUCUUUUAACCGAUUAACCCCUAAGGAGAAAAACCUUAGAUCUAGAUAAUCAAUAGCUGCUUGCUCUCUAAUCCUCCCAUAGUUACUAAAAAUGUUAUGCGUCACUCGCGUAGUUGAAGUUGGAGAAGGAGAAUCAUCAGAAUUUGGUACUAAAAUGGUAAUGAGAGCAAUAACACCGAGGAUUAAGAAAAGUAAGCCGCUGAUCCGUGGUCUAAGACCAAAAACUGAGGCAAGCUUCAUGGUCCCAGGAUCAAAACAAGAGCUUUAUUGUAAUCAAAUCUACACUAUACAACCACUCUUCCUGUCUCUAUAAGAUUCCUCAUUCCAACUAACAUUUGCCUAAUCAAGCCAUAAGAUUCACCAUUUGAAUCAUGAGGAGAAAUAAUCCAAAUCAGGAAAGAGGCAUCAGUCACUGAACGCCAAAUUCAGAACUAACUCGUAAUUGCCAAUUACGGAAACGAACACCAAACCAACAAAACCUGCAAACCAAACUUUCUCAGAUCAAAAAUCAAAAUUUCCUAAAAAAAGAGAGAAACUUUUUGCCUUUUUGUAUUUUACAAAAAUUUUUUUACUUUUUGUCGACGUAAAAUGUAUUAGUUAUCAUAAGCAAAAGGAGCCAAGAACGAACCUCGUGAGCCCGACGAAAAACUCAAUCUCAUAUUCCUAUAAUGAGAUCUCGAAAAUGACGAAGACGAAUUAGAUGAUUCAGAUCAACAAGGAAAAGCUUGAAACCAAUGAUACGAACGAUCGUAAACGAAAACAAAAAUCAAAAAGGGGUUUUUCAAGAAGAAUGAUUUAGAUUUUGAACAACAAUGGCGUCUCGAAAGGCCGAAGCGAAGCGAAGCUCCAGUGAUAUGAGAGGAGAGGACUGUUAAGCUUUUCUGGUACUGUGUCUCUACCUUUGUCGUUUCGUAUUUUAUAUUAUUUGUAUGAAUACUUUAUAAUAUAAGCUGCAUUAUUAAAGAGCUUUUUAGUUUUUACCAACGAAUGUCUACAAAUAUAAAAGCAUUACCUGAUUAUUUUACAAAGUUAAUGAACUGGAUAAAAUAAUUAAGGAUCUGAUUAGUACGAUAGUAUUGAUGUAGGUUUUUGUUUGUGCUUCUUUUUCAAAUCAAAUCUUGUAUUUAAAUGUUGGGUGUAAAUGAAUAUGUGUACUAGUUUUUUUUUUCUUUUUUGUCAGCAUGUAACGUUUGCCGACAAAAAUAUAAAGUUUAUUAUAUGAUUUAAGAUACACCCAAAAAUGUCAAACGUGUCUUUGUCUUUUGAAUUUUCAGUAUUAGAAAAACAAGAAAAAGAGGGGAUUAAAGAAUUGAAAUAGUUAGAUCUCUCUAAUAACUUCACUUUCUCACUAAGGAAACAUUAUUACAAAUCAAACUACAGCGUUUGACUUGACAAAUAAGUAUCAUAUAUGUAUGCAUUAAAAUAACACAUCAAUUUAUCCCCCCAAAAUUUCAAUGAAGAGCAACAAGGAUGAACCUUGACUGAGUUAAGACGAUAAAAAAACCAAAUCGUAAGGUGUUUUCUACACACAAAUUUCAAGCGUUGUUACCUCCAAACUCUCUGUUCAAGUAGUCCACAAAACGUCUCUUUGCACUUUCUGCAUCAGUUGGUAAUGGUGGCCCGCUUAGACUCGAUUGACCCAUCAGUUUAACAAACGUUCUCCGAAGCCUCCUUAGCUCCGGUAGUCCAAUCGGUCUGCAGAUUUCUAUUGGAGGGAGAUCAUUGCCAAGAGUAACUCUGCUUAUAGCCCCACCAAGUGAUUGUUGUUCCACAAUCGCGUUGAUGAUUUCUUGUGUCGCCCUGUCCAACUCGUAAAGAGAAUUCGCUUCUGAAAAUCUAGCGGCCUGAGUCGCGAUACUUGGUUGGAGAAUUCUCACAUCUUGGGUUUUGGAGUCGACAGUCUUGGUUAGAUAAGUCACAGCCUCUGAAAUCACAGGAGAGGAUUUGCUUAUUCCUUCUCGAGAAGGGUACAGCUCAAACAGAGGAGAAUCCCACCGGUUUCUUCUCUCUGGUUUCUCGAAUCUUCUUACCAGAUCUUCAAAAAUACCAUCGUCAUAUGAAGCUUCACCUUUAUCACUGCGUUCCUUAUUCCAUUGCCUGCAAUGAGCUUCAUCCACAUCGCAAUAAACAACACAAUACCUAAUCCCAGCAGCACGAGCGAUACACCAAAGCUCAUAUCUGUAACCUUUGAUACUGUUCAAGGAAUCUACAAUAACGAUAUCGCCUCUGGAAACUGAUCUAUCAACAUCUGACCUGAGCUUUCCUCUCAGGUUCUUCUCCGCAGGCAUGUUAGCAUAGUUUUGGUUGCGGUCCAGAUGAAACGAAGCCUCAUCGAUGAUCCUAACAUUCUGUUUGGUUUCAGACUCUCCCAGUGUUUCAGCUAAGGUUACUGCAGCUAUUGACUUGCCACUACAAGGUUGCCCACAAAUCACAACUAGCGCCAUUGGAUUUUAUCACACACAAGUUACUGAACGAAGCACACUACCUACAAAAUGGAUUCAAUAUAAAACUUAAGAUACAAGCUUUAUGUUUAUACCAAUCAUCCAAACUAAAGAAUACGCAACGACCCAGAUUCACAUAUAAAAUUCAAAUUCCAGAGAACGGAUUCAAAUCCCCAGAACAAGUUAAAGCAUCAAAAUUUAUCGGUAGAUACUUCCACAAGAACCAAUUUCGACGAAAAGUCAAGCUAAAUGAAAACGUUACCAGAGCAAAAUCGGGAGUGUUGUCGACAGGUUGAAGAAAACAAAGAGUGACGAUGAUAAUGGUCGCGUGAGAAUCUAAUUUGGGGAUUUAGGGCUUAUAAUAAUUUAAUUGGUGCGGUUUGUUAAUAUGAAUACCAAUUUGUGUCGACGUGAAUUAUUUCGUUCCGGUUUAUAAGAUUUAGAUACGAACCGAAUAUGCCAACACAAGUUGCUAGGCACGUUGAUGGUAGUAUACGGCGAGGAUAAUUUAGUAAUUUCGAAUCUCAUAAAGAAUUUAAAUAAAGUACAGCUCAUUCGAUGUUGUCUCGGUAUCCGAAUUAAAUCCGGGUUUCAAAAUCGGGUCUUUCCCCUAAUCGAAAAUAGCACGAAUUUUCAGCCCUAGCCGCGUUCGAAAUAUCCCCCAAUUUGUUUUUUUUUUCUUUUUUCCCUACAAAAUUUUCUUCGAAUUCUUUGCUCAGAUCCCUUCCUUAUUCCAGAUCGAUCUUCAAAUCAAUUGUAAUUUUCUUAUUCCUCUUGAUUUCUUCUUUCAAUCGAUACCUGUUUUGUUAUCAUCGCUUCCUUUUGGUCAAAUCUAGGGUUUGAGUUAGAUCCAGAUCUAAGAACAUCAGAUCUGAUCGAUCUUUUGUUUUAGAUGUUGAUUUCCUUCAAUAGUUUUACCGGAUCUGUUCGUAAUUCCAGUUUCCCCCAAUUUUUAUUAUCCGAUUUGGGGUCUCGUUGAUUUCGAUGUUCUAGGGUUCUUCAGAUCUGUCAAUUGAUUGAGGAAUUUUGUUUGGUUUCCUGAUAAUUAACCGAUUCUUUGAUUUUCGAUUCUUGAUUUGGGAUUUAAUCCGUGAAUUGAAAUCUAGGGUUAGGUUUUCUAACGAAUUUGGGGUUUUUCUUUUUAAAAAAAAAAAUUUAUAAUGGGGUUAAUUUUUUUAAUACUCUAAUUAAAUUAUUUUACCGGUUAAAUAGAGUUAGAGUUGUCACUUGUCAGUGUAAGUGGAUAACCUUGAGGCCAAGUAACUAAGUGGCUUUGGUUCUAAUUUUACAGGCCAAAAAAAAUAUGGGUUUCAAGCGCACUUUUGACGCUGAGGAUGUGCAAGAGCUGAAUGUCAAGCAUGCAAGACAGAUUAGUUAUUGCAAUAAGCUGGCCAAACUAGAUGAAGGAGUUUCAUAUCGUGUUUCACUGGAGAAGUCAGGUUUCGUAGGUAAUAAUAAUAUGCAUCUUGCAGAGUGUGAGCAUGAUAAACCUAAGCAGCUGGCUUGAUUAUUAUUUGUCUAAUUGUUAGCAGGAGAUGAUAUAAGUGAUCUAUAUGGGUAUAAAUGUGAGGAGAAGGGCUUUGAGAUCAAUGCGCCUUUCUCUUGGAUCACAACCGGUUUGUGCGAGGAGGAUACUCAGUCUGGAGCGACGACUCAGUCUACCCUUUCUCAUGAAUCUCCUGAGUCAGAUAUACCUUGGAGACCAGUUUGCUCAGAAGAAGAUGCUUAUUGGUGUCCGAGUUCUCCUAGAAAACCAGUACCAGUUGGGGCGGAUUACCAGGCUGAUAUUCCUGAAUGUGUCAAGGAAGAGGCAAGUGAUCACUCCGGUCAGGCUAUUGGUUAUGUUGGAAAACAAGUGACGGGGAAGUGCGUAAUUCCAAUGCCUGACAGUGAAACCGAGAUUUGCGAUAUUGGUAAAGGAAGAAAGGAAUGCAUGUGCCUGGACAAAGGUUCCAUCAGAUGUGUGCAGCAGCAUAUCAUGGAAAACAGGGAAGCCUUGUUUGAAACUAUUGGAUACGACAGAUGUCUGAAUAUAGGUCUUUGUGAAAUGGGGGAGGAAGUUGCCGGUAAACUAACUGAAGAUGAGGAAGAUCUGUUUCACGAGGUUGUUUACUCCAAUCCAGUUUCACUUGACCGGGAUUUCUGGAAACACCUUAAGUCUGCGUUUCCGUCAAGAAGCAUGAAGGAAAUUGUGAGCUAUUAUUUCAAUGUCUUUAUCCUGCGAAGACGAGCUAUCCAGAAUCGUUCGAAAAGGCUGGAUGUUGAUAGUGAUGAUGACGAGUGGCACGUAGAGUAUGACAACACCUUUUAUGGUGCUGAAACUCCAUCAGAUGAUAAAGCCGAAAAAAGCCUCUCAAGGGAUGAAGAAGAAGAAGAAGAGGUUAAUGUUAAUGAAGAUUCGAGCAUGUCCAAUGCAAUCUACUCCCGAUGUCAAGUUAGAAACAGAGAAGAAUCCAGCAUUGGUAACUACUGGCGCCACUGCAAUGAUCUUGUGGAUAACUCAUAUUCAUUUGAUCCUUGUGAUUCGAUACUACCAGAUCAUUGUUGGACUAAGAGCAUUGAUCUGCUUCCAACUUCAAACAUCAUCGACGAGAUCUUUGGUCAAGACCCAUGGGAUGAUUUUUCCAGAGGGAAGUAAAUGAAGAACGAUCUCCAUUCUCCAUUCUUACUCUGCUCUCAAGUUCUGAAUCUUGUGUAUGUAAAAUGCAUUAUUUAAGGAAAUCUCAAGUUGGAAGUUUUCAGUGAGUCCUGUAUAGUUUAUGGCCCUGGAAGCUCUGUGUUUUUGAUACUUUUAGGUUUUUUUUUUUAUUACCUUUGCAAAUCAGAAUUAGAUUUCGUUGUAAGAAGAAGAAAAAAUCUUCAAACUGUUUAAUAAACUAACAUUUUGUUCAUAUUUUUAACACAUAUCUCACUUCCAAUACCUACAAUUUCAGUAAUUAACUUCUCCAGAUUUUUCUUAUUUUUCUCUCUUUGUUUUCGGUAGACGUUUCCUCUAUUUCCUUGUUAACGUCUUGAACAUAUUAGACACAUAACAUAAGCCUUGUCUCUGGAAACAGAGUGUUCGAUUAUUACAGACUUAACUGUCCCAAAAUAGGGAGCAGCAGAGGACGUGACAUGGCGGUGGAUGAAUUCUCUUUCUCCAACGCAUCUCCUUUCAUCUCUAAAUCCCUUCAACGGUACACAAACAGAGAGAGAAUCAAAAACGAUUCUUUUGAUCCCUUCUUAAAUUACAUUUUUGGAUUGCCAUUUUCCUUUCCCUCUACUCUGCAUUUUUCUUAAUCAGAAUAUUUCAAGAGAUUUCACAGGUAAUCCAUUAGAUUCUCUAUCUCUUCUUGAUUUGUAAUUUUCAAUCUUUUAACAUUUUCAUAACAAGUUGUUGAUAAUCUUUGAUCAAUCAUCGUCUCAUUGUUAAAUAGAUGUUUGGUUUUUUCAAAUCUCCGGGUAACAAUAAGCUUCCCAAUGAAUCGUCAAACAACAAAGGCGGAACAAUCACUGCAGGAAGAAGGACUUCUUCAGAACCAAUCCUUAUAACGCCUGAUUUCGACGAUGACGACAAAUACAAGAACGGUUUCCGCGAUUCCGGUGGUCUGCAGAGCCAAACGACACAAGAGUUGGAGAACUAUGCUGUUUAUAAAGCCGAAGAAACAACCAAAGGUGUUAACAAUUGUCUUAAAAUCGCUGAAGAUAUAAGAUCGGAUGCUACAAGAACGCUCGAAAUGUUGCAUGAGCAAGGUGAACAGAUCAACAGGACUCAUGUUAUGGCUGUUGAUAUGGAUAAAGAUCUCAGUCGGGUAAAGCUUUUCUUUUCCUUCUUUCUUUCUUUCUUUGAUCCCCAAAACAGUAUGGUGAAAUAUUAUAUGUUCUCUGUAAUCUGUGUUUUAUGGGGGUGUUGAUAAAAAACUGUUAUGUUAAAUCAGGGAGAGAAGCUUCUGAACAACUUAGGAGGAAUGUUUUCAAAGCCAUGGAAACCAAAGAAGACUAAAAACAUCUCAGGACCUAUGAUCACUCCAGGUUUUUAUAUACUUAAAACCAGAAUCUUUAAUGUUUUGACGCGUCCAAGCUCUUAGAUUCUUGAUUGGAUAAAAUUCUGUGUAUGAUGAUUUUUUGUUUUUCAGUUUGAAUUAUUAUAGAAGAAUCGUUCCAUACCUCGUUGACAUCUCAUAUCAUGUCAAUCCUUAAUGUUUUCACGCAUUAGGACUCUUAAUUCUUGAUCAUAGGAUGAUCAUGUUUGUUCUAAUGCUGUUUGCAGUUUGAAGAUAAGAAGAGAAAACCAAAUCUUUAACUUGUGAAUAACUCAUAUCAUCUCAAAUAUUUAUUGAUUGGAUUGGAUUUGAUUAUUCAUGUGGUAUGGUGGUCCUGUUUAAUAUAGUUAUUGAACUUUUUAGAUAAACCGUCCAAGAAGGGUGAGAAUCACAAGGAAGAGCGAGAGAAACUCGGUUUGGGUGCGAAAGGACGAUCGAGCAGCCAACCGCCAGCACAACAACCAACACAGGCACUGCAGAAAGUUGAGGUUUGUGUUCUUUUUUACAAAUUCUGCAGAAAUCUUGAAUCUUAGAAUGAAGGAAAGAUGUUGAAAAAUGUACUGUUUAAUGCAGCAAGAGAAGGCAAAACAAGACGAUGGACUUUCAGAUUUGAGUGACAUUUUGGGUGACCUUAAGAGCAUGGCCGUUGAUAUGGGAUCAGAGAUCGACAAGUCAGAUAACACAGAAUACAUUACAUAUUCAUGCAUUUAUAUAAGCAUUAAUUUGCAUGUAGAUUACUCAUCAUAUUAUGGGGAAAUUGCAGGCAAAACAAGGCUCUUGAUCAUCUCGGCGACGAUGUUGAUGAGCUUAACUCUCGUGUUAAAGGAGCUAAUCAACGAGCACGUCAUUUGCUUUCCAAAUAAGCAACCACCAGCCUUCCACAAAUAUUGCUCUUCUUAUUUGUAUAUUAUACUUAUCUUAUCUUUUUUUACUUUCCUACAGUUGAGUUUUUCUUCUUUUUCUUUGUUCAUUCUUUGCUAUAAAGUUGUCAAAUAACAACACAUUUGAUACAAUUGUUUUUUAAAACAUUACUAAGUUUCAUUUUGUUUCAAAUAUGCUUUAACCGAACAGAAAGUCUAGUUUUGGUAUAAUCAGCAUUUCGAUGUUCAACUGAUUAGCCUCUGCAAUUCUAAAGUGUUAUAUAUAUAUACUCAAAACAGUACUAAUUAGUAAUUACAACAAAAUCCCUUCGGUCUGUAACAUCGUAGUGAGUAAGUGACACAAGCUCUUCAAAGAAUAAGCACAAGAAGACUAGUGUAUUAUUAGAGUGUACAAAACUUAUGUUCUCUUCCCAACAAUUGUAGAGAAACAUGGUUCUCACCGUGGUAAAAAAGAGAUCCUAUACAAAUCAUGCCCCUAAAUAGGCUCAGUUCAAUAUUAUGUCUCCUCGUUCUUGACUGGGAUCCAACGGUUAUUAGACGAUUUCUUUCCCCGGGUGAAAAACCCGAUAAUGAACCCCAAAAACACGCCCACAAACAUCAAGCCUGCUCCUUUCACAUACCAUAAAGCAUUAGAGUCGGAUUUUCCCAUCAGUGUAGCGGAAGCGGGAACGGUUUUAAGACUUGGGAUUUUAGUACUCUCUUUACUCCCACUGAUUACUUCCCCAGAAGCUAACAUCUCAACAGUAUCAUGAACUUCGCCAUCAUGGUUACCCACAAAUGAUACAGUGAGCUUUUCUUUGUUCGCAACUAACCGAGUGUAUCCAAACUCACCUGUACGAUACAUUGAUUGUUCAGGCUGAGGGAAUAUAGGAACAUCUGGAUGGUUUGGUCUCGGCUGCCAAAUUGGUUGCCAAUCUUGACCAGCCAUACCGAUAACAAGAUGAACCGGGUUUCCUGGCCACUGUUUGCCGCAAGUGUUGUUGCUUAUCGGACAAAACCUUUCGUAUCUAUGAACAUGCCCCCAUAGAGCAAGUGUGACAUUGUUGUUCACAAACAGCGGUUCCAAAUGCUCAACCAUCUUUUGCCUAAUCAUAGUGUCUCUAACCUCGUUGCUCGUAGUGUACAUCGGUCUGUGUCCUUGCACAACAACAAACGGCGUUUUCACCCUGUUUACAGACUCUAGAUCUUGCUUUAUGAAUUCGUAUUGACUGCCACCUUUAAGAAAAUUCGUCUCUGUGGAAAUAUAGAGGAAAUGAACCGAUCCCAUAUCAUAAGAAUAAUAUAGAUUCCUUGUCGGAGGAGCUUUUGUUCCCGUGGAUUCUGAAGAAUUCCCAGGCAUAUUGAACUUCAAACUAUACGGCACACCACAUUCGCCACCACCAUCAGUUCCAUAAAUCGUAGCUGCCCAAUCAGGUUUCCAAGGCUGAGUAGGGAAAUCAUACUCAUGAUUACCAAUGCAAACAUGGUAAGCAACUUUGGAGGCAAUAGGCUCAACCUGAGCAAAGAACUCAUCCCAUACCCACGAGUAACCACGAGCAUAACUUAUAUCUCCAAUGUGUGAAAUAAGAGCUGGCUUGUCACCAAGAGCUUCAAUGUCACGGAGGAUCCACUUCACUGUCGAUAUACUCUCAUCCUGUGUGCGGAUAAAUGUCGUGUAAGGCGUAGCACAACCCAUAUCUCCAAACAUGAAAGCUACGGUUUCUUCUGAGUAUACAUCUCGAGCAAUAAAGCUACGGAUCUCACUCCAUCCCUUAGAAUCACUCCCAACCUAAUUCAUAGAAGGAUAAAUCCAUUAAUCAAUCCUGUAAGCAAAUGUUCUUUCUUCCAAAUCUAUCACAAAGAGAUAACCCGUAUUCUCAAAUAAAGAAACUCAUGCAUAAGCUUCAAAAUCGAAUUGAUUUUAAGAGAACAUUAGAUUCGGAUAUGUUCAUACCUGAUAAUAGUACCUAACGCCAUUAUUCAAAUUCUUCAUAACGGUAUCAAAAAUCCAACCAGGAUCUCUCCACCCGAUAGUCGAAUUCGCCGGCGAAUCACACAUGUGCUCUCUCUCGUACCUCAUCCCACGAGCCGCCGCAGAAUUGCCUAACAAAUCCUUCGCUUCUCCGUAUCUCACGAAGCGUUCUUCUCCAUCUCCAGCUACAAACAUAACACGCAUAGUGUUAACCACAUUCGUGAACGACAAAUGGAUCUGCUCCGGCAUGCCAACGCCGGAUCCGAAGCUCAGCUGUUCCGAUUCAGCUAGAAGAUGUUUAGUUCCCGGUAAAGGAUUCUGAUCAUGAUCCUUGUGUUUCGUAUCGAUCUCUGAUUCGCUCCACCGGAAGAUCCGGAACGUGUAAUUUGAUCGGAGAUUGGUUAAAGGAAGAGAGAUCGAACCGAAUCCAGAUUUCCAAGUGGAAGAUUCAUUGAGAAACUUGUAGCCAAUAAAGUGAUCAUUAGGAGACUCCGGCGGUGAAAAGAGGCCUAACCAAUCGAGAUCUGACGGAGAAUCGACGCCGGACCAUUGGAUCACGACGGUAUCACCAGAUCGAUUCAGAGCUUUGGGGGAAAUGGAAACCGCAGCUUUGGAAUAAGCAGGGGAAACGAAGACAGAGACGGAAAGGAGAAGGAAGAAAGAGAAAUUUGCGAUCAUGGCGACGGAGUAACGCAAGAAUAAUUAAUUGUUGCCGGAGCUGAACGCCGGAGAUGAAAGAUAUAUAAAAGGUGCUCCAAAUACGACAACGUUUUAGCGUUUACUGUGACUGGUGGUGGUGGUUAGCUAUUUUUAAUUUUAAAACCAAUAUUGAUCUAUGACGUAUCACCUUCUUAAAGAUGGGUCUAUCAAAGCCCAAUAAUAUGGGCCUUAUUCGGCCUAUAUAAAGAUAUCAAUUAAUAAGAUAAAAAAUACAAUAGAGGAGUUUGAACUGUUUUUAUUCGUGCCGGAUUAGUUUAGUUUCCACUGAGAGGGGAGGAGCUUGUUGCUUUCCAUGGCGAUGAUAAAUAAUACCUUCUUCUUUCUCCCACACCAUUUCCACUUUGCCCAGUUUACAAAAUUGAUUCUUUUCUACUCUUCUUCUUAAACCCACGAAGAAUUCAUGGUUUCGUAAGCUCUUCGGAAAGCAAAAUCGAUGGCUCUGCAUUUGAGUUUGAGCUUGUCUCUGAUCUUCCGGAUUUGCGCUCUUUUGUUGCUGAUCAAUGUCUCAUUCUCUAAAACACUUAAACGAGACGGUAAGCUCUCUUGAUUUGGUGGUGUUCCAGAAUUGUGAUUUUUCGCCGGAUUUGGUUUUCUGACUUUUUAUUGUUUUGGUAGUGAAAGCUUUGAAUGAGAUAAAGAGGUUAGUUGGGUGGAGAGUGGUGUACUCUUGGGUUGGAGAUGAUCCUUGCGGCGAUAAACAUUUGCCUCCGUGGUCUGGAGUCACUUGUUCCAAAGUUGACAAUUACCGUGUCGUCGUCAAGCUGUAAUUUUUUGACUCACCAUCUUUGAAAGCUUGAGGUUUUUGCAUUGUUUUCGCUUAAAAUGGUUUGUUUUCUUUUCUGCAGAGAAGUGUAUUCAAUGUCGAUAGUGGGGAAUCUCCCAACGGCUGUAACGAGGCUCUUAGAUCUCACUGUUCUGUAAGUUUCACUGACUUGUAAUCUUGUUGAGUUCUGAUGCUACUCAUUUUCUGUUGAGUUGAAAACAAAACCAUUGCCAAGGGUCUUGAUUGUUUAAAGGAAUUGGAUUUGUGAAUGUUUCAGAGAUCUGCACAACAACAAAUUGACAGGACCUAUUCCUCCAGAAAUUGGGCGCCUUAAGCGUCUUAAGACACUGUAAUGUCCCUUCACAGUAUUUUUCUUGGAUCCAUGAUUAUUAUCUAAAUAUGUUAAGGGGUGUGUCUGAGUUUGGCUGCUUGCUUUGUUUUGAUAUUGUUAGGGUGUAUUGUAAACAGGAAUUUGAGGUGGAAUAAACUUCAACAUGCCCUGCCUCCUGAAAUUGGUGGACUGAAGAGUCUUACAUAUCUGUGAGUAAUCCUAGCUCAUGUCAGGGAUGAUUGAAGGGGUUUUCUUUGAGCUCUGUAAAAUACUCUCACUAUUGCAGGUACUUGAGCUUUAACAAUUUCAAAGGAGAAAUCCCCAAAGAGCUUUCAAACCUCCAUGAGCUCCAAGACCUGCAUUUUCAGGAGAAUCAUUUUACUGGGCGGAUCCCUGCGGAGUUGGGAUCGUUACAAAAACUUCGCCACUUGUAAUCUCUGACAUUUCAAGGCUCUUUCCUGUAAACCACCCAACAGAAUUCAGAUAUAUUUAGUAUCUUUGUCAUGUUCUGUAGGGAUGUUGGCAGCAAUAACUUAGUGGGGAGUAUAAGCGAUCUUUUAAGCAUAGAAGGAUGUUUUCCAGCUCUUAGAAACCUGUAAGUGAAUUUGAGAGUUAGCCAUCAGAAAUAAUAUAUGGUUCCUGAGUUCACUUUUUGCUGUAGGUUUUUAAACAAUAAUUACUUCACUGGUGGAAUCCCAAACAAGCUUGCAAAUCUAACAAACCUGGAGAUGUUGUGAGUAUCUUAUCACAUCUUUUGAUUUAUCAACGCCAUUUACAUAUUUUAUCUCUCCCUAUCUCAUCCUUUUUAAGUUCAGGUACUUAUCUUACAACAAAAUGACUGGAGCAAUACCUUCUGCACUAGCCAAUAUACCAGGACUAACUUACUUGUAGGCCUCUCUCCUCUACUAAAUACAUAACUAAAAAUCGAUUUGAAAGACCCAUGUGCCAUGCUACAUCCUUAGAGCAUGUUUUGAAUUAACUUCAGGCACUUGGACCACAAUCUAUUUAGUGGAAGCAUCCCUGAAGCCUUCUACAAGCAUCCAAACCUAAAAGAUAUGUACGUCCAUAACCUCUCUAAGGUCCCUUUGUAAAAGAAAAUAUAUAUCAGUAUAGCACCCAUAUUAGAACUUAAUUCUUGGCCGAUGUAUGUGGCAGGUACAUAGAAGGGAACGCAUUCAAAACAGAUGUUAAGGCUAUUGGUGCACAUAAGGUCCUCAAACUUUCUAAUAUAGAUAUCCUUGUUUAGUUAUGCAUGUUACAAGUCUGUUUCAAUUCAGAUAGUAUUUCGCAGUGUAAUAUGGUUCUUAUGAUUCAUUUUCUAUGCUACAGCAAUAAUAUUGUACUUGAUGUGUUUUAUGAAUGUAAAGAUUCCUUAUCCAUAUAUGAAAAUUGAAUAAAGAGCAAUCUGGUUUGUUCUUUUCACUGUCCUUUCGAGAAAGCAAAGAACCAAAAAGCUGAACAGGGAAAAGAAAGAAAAAGUGUUCCUAACUUUACCUGCACACCUUUAUGAUCCAAAUAUGAAACUUGGAUGCAAAGCAAUAAUCUCAAAAACCCUUCAAAAACCAAAACCCUCAAACACAUCUAACCCAAACCUUCUCAACUCCUCCCACCAUAUUUUAUUUUGAAAAUGGAUACCUUGAUCAAGCAGACAAGGUAAGUCACUAAAUCUCCAGAUUCAUAUUUGCUAUUCACCAACACAUACAUAUAGAUAAACAUAUGUUGAUGUAAAAUGUUGACAUCUUUGUCUUAGGAGGAGGCAUCCAGCUUCCCAGGAAAGACAUAGAGAGAUUGGUAGCUCCAAUAGAGAGAAAAAAGUUCCAGCAAGGAAGUCUGUUUCAUUCAAAGAAGGUACCACAUAAUUCUACUCUACUGUUAUACAUAUGUUGAUUAGCUUAUCAAUUUCUGAAGCUUGAUUAAUUUCACAUCUUCAUAUUUUGUGUAUUGGUAGAUAAGAAGAAGUCCUCAAAUUGGUUACAGAAGCAGUUCUCGAGGCAAAUGAGUGGCCAGAGUUAUGACCCGAUAGGCGACAUGGAUCACGUAGCUGCAGUUGCAGCCACCGCUUAUGCCAUAAGCACUUUUGAAGAAACAUGGCUAGAGAGUUAUCAUGUAAGGGUUCUAAUAAAGACUUUUUGUUAUGGUUAAUUACAGUAAGCUUUUUCUAAUAAGAUGAAUUUGUUGUUCUUUGAAAUUGUAAAACAAAACAGAAUGGCAUUGAACUUGGACCUUCUUUGUCAAGGAGUAAGAGCAGAAGAGAAGAUGAGUUUCCUUCAGAGGAACCAAAAAGCUUAUCAAGAAGAUUCUCAGGUGAGUUUAAGGAAAAAUUCAAGAUUGAAUCAACUGAAAAUGUUUACGGAUGUUAACAUUUUAGUGUCGACACAGGACAACUUUCGUUUAAGGAUUCAGAGACGAAAGAUCAUAAACAUCCAACGCUAAAGUCCCCAAUGAGAAAGUCAUCUUCGGUAAAAAAGACUUUCUCCAUGAACUUGAGAGAAGAUCACACCAAACAAAAGGAAGACUCAGGGGAAAAACAUGAUAGACAAAGAAAACCGGUUUCUGAACCUCCUCGGAUACAACCACCGGUCAGGACACGAUCAGAACGUCGUGCUCCACCACCACCUCCUCCUCCUCCUCUUCUAUCACCUUCGCCUAUGCACCUUCCACCUAGGGAAAUGAAAAGGCAGAGUUCUGGACAUAUCAGUCGAAAAGAUAAUUCUACAGCUGAUGUUUGGGAAAAAGCUGAACUAGCUAAGAUCAAAGCAAAGUAAGUCUCAGUACACGAAAACAUAUUUAUGUGUGUUGCUUACACUCACAUAUGUUUUACACAAGCAGGUAUGAGAAGUUAAACAGAAAGAUUGAUAUGUGGGAAGCAAAGAAGAGGGACAAAGCUCGAAGGAAGCUGGACAUAUCUGAGGUUGAUAAUAUAAUGACUUUGUAUCAAAUCUAAUGUCAUGAUCAUUAUCAUAUAGUUGAAUGAUAAAUUUUGAGCUCUUUUUCACUAACUAACUUGUUGGUACAUGAACAGCAGAGCGAACUAGAACAGAGGAGGAGGAAAGGUUUGCAGAGAUUUAGAGACGACACAGAAUACAUCGAACAGAUUGCAGCCGGAGCCAGAGCUCAGGCGGAGAAAGAGAGACAUAGCAAAGAGUUCAAAGUGAAGGAGAAAGCCGAGGUUAUCCGUAGUAACGGUGAAAUCCCUGGAAAAGCAUGCUGUUUCUGACACUAAAAAACAGAGGGUCUUAGAUAAACAGUAGCUAAUAUAUAUGUACAUAUGUGUGUGUGUGAAAGAUUAUAUGGGAUUCGUUUAAAGAAAAGAAGUUAUUGAAAGCCAAAGUGUAUGAUGUAACAGAGAGCUCUGGGCGAGCUACAAAGAUACUUUGCUAACACAAAAACAACACAAGGCUCAAAAGACAAUAGUACUUCCUUUCAUUUGCUGUCUCUAAAACAUCCCUUAAGCUUGAUCAGCCCUUAACUUGUUAAGCUAAUCAUAGACACCUUUGAAGAACGUUUGGAUGGGAUAAAGUAAGAGGGCAUAAUCAUCAUGCAGCAGAUGUAAGAAGUUUGUACACCCAAAAAGUUUCCAUUCCACGUCAGAAGCCAUGCUUUUAUACAAAAUUCUUACUUAAAUUCUUUCAAAACUGAGACCAACGAAACCCAAUGAAACACUUCCUAGUUCCAAACAUGUAGUAAUUGUGAUUUGUCACACCAGUGAUUAGUGAAGCUAAAAUCGUGUUUAAAGAAGAUAGAUAAAUGUCAAAAUUGGGCCACUUAGAGCACCUCCAAUGGUAAGCACCAUUGGAGGGUGCUAAUCAAUUUUUAAAAAUUAAAUUUUCAAAAAUAGUGCUUAUGUGUUGCUUAUAAUCACAACUUAACCUAUGGUGCUUACAAUAUUUUCUUUUUUUAUGAUUAUAAUCAUUACAUAUAAUGAUAAGCAAUGUUAAAGAUACAUUAAGCAUCUCCAUUGGAGGUGCUCUUAUGAUCUCGUUAAAUUGUUUUAUGGUACACCUGUAUCGAGCUUAAAGGGCCUACCUUUAGACAGUGCUAUUUUGUAUUCUGUCUUUAUAAUAAUAACUUGUAAUUUACGCAACCGACAAAAUCAAAGUGGAUUGGAGUUAUCACACUCACUCAUAAAAGCUUCGACCGACAGUCUUUAAUGGAGAACGAUAAUUCCAUAAAAGAUAUUUAUGUGAUAUUUUUCGUGUUUUAUCAUAAAGACCACCUAACAAUUAUGUGAUCGAGAAGAGAACACCUCGUUGGUCACUGUAUAAUAAUAGCAACUGAUCACUCUAAUAAAAUGUUCUUUUCCGCCACGACAAGCAAUGAUAUCACAACUUUUUAGCUAAUUAGCAUCAACGACCAAAUAUAUACUUUAUAAACAGUGCUAGUAUUAAUUAUAGAUAUAGUAAGAGUGAUUACAGGUUUUUGUAUUACUGUUUCUUCUAAUAAAAUGGUUUGAUAUAUUGUUAUUUUAUAAUUUUCUCUAUUAAUGAAAUACAAUAUACAGUUUAGCAUUCCCGUGAUCUUGUUUUAUUUAAGUUUUAUAGAAAAAAAGAGCAUUAUAGUGGAUAUUUUCCAUAUCUAUGUCUAUAAAUAAUAGACAUAUCCCAUCUCUUCACACACUCAUACUACAUCCAACACACACAAAACAUUAAUCAUUUUUGAGAAGAGAGAAAAAAAAAAUGAAUUUCAUCUCCGAUCAGGUAAAGAAACUCUCAAGCUCGAAACCAGAGGAGCCAGAACACAACAAGCCUGCAGCUGAAGGAACCGAAACAGCUACUAGACCAGCUUCCAACGCCGAGCUCAUGGCGAGUGCCAAGGUUGUAGCUGAAGCUGCUCAGGCCGCAGCUCGUAACGAAUCAGACAAACUCGACAAGGGUAAAGUCGCCGGAGCCUCCGCUGAUAUCUUAGACGCUGCCGAGAAAUAUGGUAAGUUCGAUGAAAAGACUGGCACUGGUCAGUACCUCGACAAGGCCGAGAAGUACCUCCACGACUUCGAGUCGUCGCACUCCACCGGCGCCGGUGGUACUCCUCCUCCUGCGAGUCAGGCUGAGCCAACAAGUCAGACUGAGCCGCCGCCGGCAGCUAAGAAAGACGAUGAAGAGUCUGGUGGUGGGAUUGGAGGCUAUGCCAAGAUGGCUCAAGGUUUCCUCAAGUGAUUUGAUCUUUAAUUGUCGUUUCAUUUUCGUAAUAAUAAAUUAUGAUAACUUUUUAAGUAUGGUUUAUGUAUGUUGCAUUGUUUGCGUUAGUAUGGGGAGUGAGUGACGAGCGGUUGUAAUAAAAAUUCAGGUGAUCAUAAUCUAAUCCAUCUUUGUUGUGUUUAUGUUUCGUUUUUUCCAUUAAAAAAAAAGUUGUUUCUAUGUUAAAGUAGUGUUUCAAUUCCUAAUUCACACUACCAAUUAACAGAGACAGGUGAGAUUUGGUAUUGUUCCUAGUUUUCCUAAGAUCAUACAACCUCAGAGAAAUGGACUUUAAGAAACAGAGAGAAUAAUUACUUGCGAUUACAGGACACUGAUUUAUCUCAAUCUAAAAUUUGUUCAUUAAUUUCAUAAAACAAACGCUUAGAGUUAUCAACAACCUCUCUGAAUCUAGACAUGAACUCUUAAACAUCUCUCUCCCAGGCACAACUUGUUACUUCCCUGUCUCCCCAAAACACAGAAUCUCUCUUUCAAUUAACAGUCCAACCAAUCUCUGUCCAUAAUCUCCAUUAAACGCUGAGCUUGUGGAGCAUGGUACCAAGGAAUCUUCUUCCAUGGAUAAGCUUGGUUUUUUUAUAAUGAUCACUGUCGUAAAAUGGACAUUUCACUUCAAGCACACCACUUGAACUUAACCCUUCUUUAACCACCUGAAUGUUCUUCUUCUUCUUUGAAGACAACUACGUACGAAUUGAGGUAAAAGAAAUUCAUGUCCUGUUAGUUCAUGGUACAGUAUUGAGUGCUUCAAACUCUUUGAUCUUGGUCCAGCAUGUUUUACUGCAUUUCCUGAAAAUGGCUCCAUUUUUUUUUGUUCCAACCAAAGUUGAACUCUACUGUUAGGCCAAAACCCAAUGGCUUAUGCAAAUACCCAAUGUAUUUUUAUGCCAAUGUUGCAACUUUGUUGGGCCAUAUAUUUGGAAGUAACCGAAAUAGGCCCAUUAGAUUAUAUAUUGAACUGGACCACUAAAAUUAAACAAUAAGAAAGUGGUCAAAGGAAUAAAAUAUCUUCAUGUAUUCACCAAUCUAAAAGAAAAAAAUUAGUCGAUGAAAAAUCUCUAUCACAAACGGUUCUCUUAUAACUCUCUCUCUCUCUUUCUCUAUACGACAACAUUUUGCAAAGAAUCGUACUCGGACAGUAAUAAUCUCAUUGUCACAUUCCCAAAGUCCCAUCAUCAUUGUCACGUGAAAGGCGCGUGUGAUGAUGGACGUUGGUUACUUGCAGUUACAGUUGCAGUUGAAGGACACCGUUGUCUUCUAGGCCUUCUUGUCAUCUUACCCCAACCUGCAAAACUUCUAUCUUCUAAACUCAUUUCAGUCUCACCAUUGUUGUUUUGAUUGCACACAUGUUGUUGAACCGAGGGAGCAGGAGCAGGAGCUGGAACUGGAGCUGGAGCUGGAACAGGGCAAUAGACCGGUUCAGCAGGGAUUGUUAUGACUCGUCGUGGUCUUCCUCUUGCACCCGUUUUCUUCCUUGUUAAACCGGUUGGAGUCCAGGAGCUUCCUGUUGCUCUCAUGAACCCAUCAAACAUUUGAAUGUCUUCUGUUACUUCAUGUUUUGAAAGAGACAGAAGUCCAGGGAGAAUGUCUCUUUGGAAGUCUCGUCUCUGUUUUCCUUUUCUCGCAUUUCCUCUUCUCGGUCUUUGGCUCGUGACCAGCGCGGUUCCAGAGGUUUCCUCCAAUUUGAGGUCUUCAGGAACCAAUGGCUUAGGCAUAUACUCUUCUUCUGAGAUCUCAGGUAGUUGCAGGGUCAUUGACUCAAAGUAAUCAAUCUCUUCUAUAGAACGUGCUUGAUUCCUCGAGAAAGUAUCGAGCUUUUUGUCCAGAUUCUCUUUGUGAGUAUUUACUGUUUCUGCAAACCAGUGAAGGAUGAUGGUUUCAGAGACUUCCGGCGAAGUAGCAUCUUCAAGCUCUCUAUCUAGGCAAGCUGAAGAGAUGGCAACGAUUGCUUCAGCUGCUAAUUCUUCAAACUCAGGUGGUUUCUCUAAAGUUUUUUCCUCAAUUGGGGUUUCUUCUGAUGGCUUUUCUCCAGGGAUGUUAUCAUCUUCUUCUUCAUCAUCAGACUCAGGAACAGCUUCCAAAUCUAUCAUAGUCUUCGAAUUCAGUCUGGAACUGGCAGGAAGAGAGCAAUUUUCGCCUUCAUCAUCACUAACCAACAUGUUCAAAUCAAUCUGACACCUAUUACUAACUGGAACCUUUGUCCCGAUCUGUUCCUCUGUUUGCUGAUCUUCAUCCCAAAGAGGAUCACACGGUUCGUUCAUGUCUAGCAUCCUACAGUUAUGGACUUUACCUUUUUCUGCAUUGGAUUGAUCUUUAUAAGCAGAUCCAGGAAAUUCCAAGUUAGCAGUAAACUUCUCAGUCUCCGGAUUAUUGGAACAUGAACCAGACUUUAACCUCUCUAGCCACAUCAUAUUCUGAGCUUUGUCUCUUGCCUCAUCUUUGAUAUCCAAUGGUUUCAAAGUAGAACUCAGAACAGCAUCAUCAUUACUCUUCAGAUUCCAUUUCCCAUCAGCCAUCUCAGAGUUACAAACAUACUUGGGUUUAUUAAGCCAUGGUAAAGUAGCUACGCGUUCUUCAUCCUUUCUGACUUCAACAACAGAAGUAUUUGAAAGUGUCACAUUUAAAUUCAAAUCUCUCACAAACUUCAUCUCCGAGCUGUAGUCACUUCUUCCUCCGUUAGGAUAAUUAAAGCCAGUCUCACCGAAUUUCGACUUUGAUGAAGAGGAACAUUCAUUGUAAAACAUGUUUUGGUUUAACCGACUGGAAUUCCCGCACCCCGAGUUUAAUCUAGAAUUGCUUUCAUACUGCAAUCUGUCUCCAAGAAACCCUUGUUUCUGAGCAUUUCCACUCACUGUGUCAGACAAGUUUAGAACCGGAUAUCUCUGUGCUGAAGCAACUUUCUGAGAAAACCCAAAACUAGGAUUUUGCCAAGAAGAGUGCAAAUGGUUCCACGAAACAGCAGAAUCUGGAGGAUUAAACGGAUACAAGUGGCGUUGUUGGUGAGAAACUAAACUUGACUCCACAUGAUUUUGAUGAAUGAUGGCUUCAUGACUACUAUUGGUUUCAGUAUCAGCCUCUAGGUCAAUAAACGUUCUUUCUCUCCAGAACAUUGCCUUACUUGGUGGACCAGAAUGAGGUACACUCAUAACUCUUUGUGAACUGUUCAAGAGAACUUGCAUAUGCUGAGACGAUGAAUCAAGAGGCUUGGCCGCUUGAAAAAAUGGAGCAGAAGAAUUGUGUGUGCCAGUAUAAUGAUCUGCAUACGGUGGAUUUUACAUUAAAACAUUGGUAAAGAAAGAAACAUGUGUAACAACAACCGCAAUUACAGCAUGAUGGAUCAUCUUACCAUUUCUUAAGGGUUGAUGUGGCCAAACUUUUCGUCUACCGUUCUCAUCAGAAUGCAGAGAGUUAACAGGAACAUGCUCCCUUACACUACCCGAGUUUAGAGAUGAUUUUCCGUCGUCGCGAAUAUGGCUUUGAAACUCACCAUUACGCAAGUCACGGGGAUAGCCAUAAGCAAAUUCGUUUGUUUCUUGAGCACUAAUUGGUUCAUUUAAGUCAGCCAAACCAUUGCUUCUACUCGACCCAUAGCCAAUUCUCAACCCAUCUCCGCGAGAUUCAGUCUUGACAGCUCCAUUAGGAAGCUGACUGGAGGUGCUGCAAACCCUGUGAUCUUUUAGCUCCACAACUUCGUCAUUGUCAUCAAUGUACUCAUCAGCUGGAAGACAAAGAUCUAUCAUCUUUCUUCUGAUUUUCGUCGGUCUAACUUCUGACAAUUCAACAUUCUUGGAACUAGCUCCAUUUUGCCAUGAAACUGGGCCAACAACCCCUUGAGAAUUGCUUCCUUUCAUGGGAGAAUGGCCAUUAUCCUCAACGACCGACACGGAUGGCCUAUCGUAAACCGAGUUUGCCAAAGGGAAACUAGGGAUUUUCCAUUUACGGGGAUCAACAUUAGUAGCUUGAGAUGAAAAAGACGCGUCAACCGGAACCCAUUCUUUAUUCAACUGUUUCCUUUUCAGUUCUUCCAUCAUAUCCUUUUGUAUCCUGUACACCCGGUGAAGUUCCAAAACCUGGUUAAAGGAUCAAAGUUGACAAAAAUACAAUCAACAAAAAAAGCUGACAAUGCAAGAGAAACAGAGAAAGAUCACAGAGAAAAUCUUAAAGUAAGUAAGUAAGUAACCUGUGUCUUAAAAACAGCUUCGUGCUCGAGCAUAGUCCUUCUCACCAAAUCUUUGUCAUAACCAAAUGAAGUCUGAGAGGGGUAGAAUUGAUCAUUAGCUGGAGAGGUUUUACUGUCACCGUAGAACAAUGGCCAUCUACAACCGUUAGACUCUUUGUUGAGAUCUCCCAUAGAGUGAUGAUAUCCACCAAAUAAGCCUUCACAGUGCACCUUUGUUCCCAUUCCUGCUCACGAAAAAUCUAAACCUCAGUCUCGGCCAAGAGAGAUAGAACAAAUCUAAUUCAAAAGAAACUAAAUUUGCCCACAAAUCCUAACAAUCAUCACAUUCCCUUUGGGGAGGGGGAAAGAACAACCCCAUGAGCUCAAUCUAUCUAAGUACAAUCUCCACAAACCCCAUUUCAGAGUAGCUUCAAAUUCAUCAAAAGUCAAACAGUAAACCACACAAAGCAAAUUGCAAAAGUGAUAACACUAGCAAAGGGUUUUGACUCAAACGGAUGAGAACUCUAACGCCGACGAGUCAAAAUAGGAUCUUGAGCAAUUAAAAAAAUCUAAAGUUAGAUAACAAAGAAUCUGCAAGAUAUUAGGACAAAGAUUGUACCAAAUUGAGAUAAAAGAGAAAUGCUUUAAAUCUAGUAGUGAAAAAUUAAGGAGAUGAAAUUGGGAAUCCCAAACUCCAAAUCAUAAGAGCAAAAACAAAUAAAAACCCCAAUUAAAUAAAUAAAAAUAAAAAGAGAUUUUUAUUUACCUCAAAGCCACAUCCUCUUAUCGCCAAGCUCGUCUCGAGACUUUGUCGGAACAAGGAAUUAAAUAAAAAUCUCAGAAUCAGAAAGGCAAAAAAGUAAGAAAAAUUUCCGAAUCUCUCUCUCUAUCUCUAGAGAGUAAAUGGGAGGAGGAUUGAAAGAGAAGAAAAAAGAGAAAAGGGGAAUAAGAGUUAUAGCGUAAACACCAUUAAUGGAAAAAAUUAGAUCGUCAUCUUCGAUCUACUGGGCCACUCUUCUCUCUCUAUUACCAAACAUAAAAAUCCUUGCCUUUAUGCUUUGCUUCUUCUUCUUCUUCUUCUAUGUGAGGAGAGGAGAGGAGAGGGGGUGAUAAAAGAAGGUUUGUGAGAGAGUUUAUAUUAUUUAGAAGAAGAAGAAGCAGAAGAAGAAGAAGAAGACGAAGAGAAAAUUAAAAAUAAAAAUAAAAAGGAAAGAUCCGAAAAUGAGAAGAAACGAGAGAGAGAGAGAGAAGAGAGAGAGAAGGGCUUUGGCUUUUGUACAGUGACAUGAAAUUAUUUGUCAACAUCCGGUCUUCUCUUCCCUUUUAUUCUCUGCUUUUUCUUCUUCUCUCUUUUUUUCUUAACUCAUUUUGAUUUUAUUUAAGGGAAUGUAAUAAUAUUUAUAUUAUCCCAUUUAACAUGAAUACUAAUAAUAAUUAAGUUUAAUAUUGUUAUGGAAAAGAAUCAGGUUUAUCCAAAAUUAAAUAAAUAAACAGCAUGAUUAGUUUGACUCGUGAAACUAUUCCUUUUAUUUUUUACAACAAUUUAUUUACGGUUAGGAUAUUUCCAUUUUAUUACAUGUGCUGGAAAAAAAAAAUAUCGAUUUGCCAAAGAAAAAAAAAAAGAAUUUUUAACGAAUGCGAGCAGUACAAGUAAAUAAUUGGUGAAAUGUGAAAAUAGGGUAUCUUCUAGGUUCUCUUCAUCUUCUUUACUUGCUUUCCAAUGCCCUUUUACGAUUAUACACAUAUUAUAUGUUUAUUUUCGUAUACUAGAAAAAAACGAAGUUAAAACAAGUUUAUGCUGAUGCGUGGCCAUCUUAGAUGAUAAUCAUGAUUAAUAAAUAAUUUUAAACGAAGAUUAUUUAUUUAGUGCUGGGAUGUUUAUUGUGCUUUGUUAAAUACGUACUGAUUUAUCAAAUGAUUUAUUUGUAUUGCAAUGAUUUUGGUGGUAUGCUACAGCUUUAAAUUUACUUGGAACGUGCUAUAGUUACUGUAAAAAUUAAUAAGAUUAAAUGUUCUAGCUAGAGAGUUUCAAUAUUUUGACAUAGAAAUAAAUAUACCAAGUAGUUAAUGAUAUGAGGUCAAAAAUUGUUGUUUACAGCGACUAAUACUCUGUAUAUAGUAAUCAUAUAAAAAUAAAACCGAACAUGUCGUCACUUCGUCUAAAAGGAUAUAUAUAUAUAUAUAUAUUAUAUCAUUUGUCCAAUUGAUUACGCAUUCUUUUUUGUUUAACACGUUUUUUUUGUUAGACCUAAUUUUUGUUUUCUUUGUUUUGGUUUAAUUUUGAUAAUUAGGCCUCAGUUUUAUCUACAAAUACUAUAAAAUUAAAAUAAAGCUGUAAUUUAAUAGAAUUAUUGACAGCAAAACAAAACGUGGGUCCCGCCAAAAAUCUUCUCUUCUUUUUUUCUUUUUCUCUAAAAUAAAAUCUAAUCUCGUUGGCUUACUGUAAAUGUGGGAAUAACUUUUUCAGUUUUCUUUUGUAUUCUGAGGAAUUAUAAGUUUUUAGACUUCUUCUAUCAAAUCUUUGGAUUGGUGCCUAAAGUUAUCAACAAGUAGGCUUUUUAUAUUAUUUUUUAAAAACCGUAAUAUAGAACAAAGGUAUACAAUAAAGUUUUUUUUUUUUGUAAAGGAGAGAAAUCUAUAACAAAACAUGAAAUCAUCAUCAUACACAGUAAGUUGAGUAAUGUCUCUCAAACCUCGUGAGUGGUUAUAAAACUUAAAAAUGUUUUGAAGUAGUAUGUAUGAAAAGUGUUUUAUAAAUGCUACUAUGCUAGCUAGAGUUGAAUUUCCAAAGAUGUUUGUUUUGGUAUCAAAGAGGGUCCAGCACACAUUUGUUAUAUAUAUUUAAAUAAAACAAGAAUAUGAAGAAACGGCACCUUAAAGGAGUAACAAAAUAAUUAUUACUUUUUCUUACGAUCGACAUGACCAAACAAAACUCUUUUAAAAGUUCGUAAUUCUUGUAAAUUUAUGUUACAUUAAAAAUGCUUCAGAACUACUAUCGAAUUCUAUCUUUUAGAAUUAUUGUGGGGGAGUAUUCUCACCCAAAAAAAAAAAAAAACAUUUUAAAAAAAAGUUUGGUAAACGGGUAAAAAAAAAAAAGGGAACUAAACUAGGGGUGUUUCGCCUGUUGUGUGGCAUUGGAAUCAUUAUGUUUUGUCUCUUAUGUCACAAACCCACAUGGUUAAUACCGUAUUGGUAAUAUUAUUUUAGGUAACCAUCGGCAAAUUUAUGACAAUGUCUCUUUUUUUACCCUAUUUUUAUUCCAACAAUACUACUGUCGUAAUAAAAAUGCAACCCAAUCAUAAUACAUAGUAGAGAUCGUACAUGGGCUUAUCGUGUAAUAUUUUUUCCAAAAUGAAUUUGAAUACUACAAAAUCAAUAAAAGAAACAAAAAAUGAUUCGAAGACACUCUUUAUAUAAAUAAUAGAUCGAAGGGAGCCCUAUAAUAUUAUAUGCAUGUAUCAACAAAUAGAUAGUUAAAUAUAUAAUGGGGUUCAAGAUAAGUUUGGGAUAUAUAAUAGACCUUAAAAGUGGUCCAAAGUAUACUUUCGGAAAUGUCACUCUCAUCAGAACAACUAAAGAAAAGAAAAAAAUGUUAAAACAAAAUAUCGAAAAGAAAAAAAGAUCAAAAAAAGAGUUAUGAAAAACAAACUGAGUCCAUUAGUCAAGGGUCCUAUCAUAGUUCUUAUGGGGUAUGUCCCACCAAAUUGAUUUCCUUGCGAAUCAAAAAUUGCAACACAAAUAAUUAAUAAAUCUUCUAUAAAAUAUAUACACAUGCAACUAUCAAUUUUUCUACCAAACAAUAUUAUAUUAAUUAUACUUCCGAAUCAUACAUAAUAAAACUAAAACACGUAUUUUUAUUAUCAAACAUAUACCAAAGUUUUAAGGAAAUAUGAUGGUUAGAAAUUAUAGAAUUACGUAUGAGAUAAAUUAUUUUAUGUUUUUUUUUUGGUAGUAUAAAUUAUGUUAUGUUGACAGUCUCAUUAACUCAUUAUUAUGCAUAUAUUGGUUGGAAAUAGAUUUAUCACUUUGACAUUAUAAAAAAAAAUAAUAUAUUAUUGAAAUUGAAAAGAAAAAAAAAAGUAAAACUAUUUGCCACUCGUCUCCCACUAGCUCUUCUCUCUAUUCUCUUUUUACCCAAAAAAUAUAUAUAUUUAUAGUUUUUAAAAUACGCUCUCUCUGUCUUUAACGUCAAUUUAUUAAUCUCUAUACGUAAGAGGAGUAUUAUUUUAUUAAAUGAGAAUUGAAUAACUUUUGCUCAUGAGUUUGUGUUUAUACAAUAAAGAUAUGUAUAUAGUCCCUUUCGAAAAGCAUCAAAGAAAGAAAGAACGUAGACAAAAAAAAACACCACACACACAACAAAGCAAUCAAUUAAACUCUUAAUUAUCGUAUUCUAUAGCCUGAUAAAGUAGAUUCCAUAUAAAAUCUAUAUAGCUAAUCCCAGAUCUGUUUUAAUUCCUUCUUUUUUCUUCAAGACUACUAUAUUAUGUGUUUUCCAUCAAAUUAUAUCUUUAGUGAUGGAUUAAAAAAUGACAAAAAUUUUGGUCUUAAUAAACGAAAUUUACAAAAAAAAAAAGAAGUUAAACCAUCUAACGAAUUCAUAAGGCUAGAAUAAUUUCAUGAUCAUAUAUAAUCAACCUGUGUGAGUAUCUUAAAUAGUAAAAAUAUCUUGCACUUUCGUGUAUUAUUGAUUAGAUAUAUGAUUUGAAUAUAUAACUAUUGAAUGUGUGUGUGUCCAUAAAAUACUAAGCAAAGAACUAUAUCCAUAUAUUUUGCUUUUUGUUCUUUUCCCUUGAAUAAGACUGAUGAUGAUAAGCCCAUUUCCAAAUAUACAAUUUGGGCCUAAAUCACACCACAGAAACAAAACAAAAGUUGUUCCUCAAUUGCCAACUUGCCAUUGUAAGUAGCUUUCUAAUAAUACUAAUAGCAUAACUAAUUAAUUAUACUGAUUUACACACAAACCAGCGAGAGACACUGAUGGUGUAAUAUGUCAAGUGUGCUACUUUACAAUUUGUUAUGCCAUAAGAAUCUAAUUUUCUAACCACAAUACGUUUAAUAAGUGCCAUUACAUUGAGAUUAAUAACAAACAUACAGUAUAUAAGAAUAAACAAAGUAAUUACUAGUACAUUUGCAAGACAUCGUUUUUACAUCGUAUGUAAUGUACGGAUGGUUGGUUGGUUGGUUCCUGAGAUGCUACUUGGAAUCUGAAAGGGCCAAUCACCGAAUUUGGUCGACAAAGACGAGAGAAAAAAGGAAGAAAGAAGAUGCUCUCUCUCUCUCUCUCUUUCUUCUCCAAUGGACAAUUUUGGGAGUGUGAAGAAUAAAUUAAAUAAUAGUAAUAAAAAUGGGGAAUGGCAGAAGAGUGUAAAUAAGGUGUAAGUAGGUGGGUUUGUUUUGUCUAGAGACUAGAGAAAACUUGCUAAAGGUUCGUGGACAACUGAACAUAGAGAUAAAUCGUGUUAUGGGGAUUUGAGAGCGAAGAGAGAAUACUGGUAAUGUUUAAGUGUUAUUUUCCCUUUAUAUCCUUUGAUCCUUCUGAUAUCAUUUUCCUACUAUAAUUUUCUAACCAAACAAAAAUACUUUCCCAUCUAGAAUCGAUGAUCUUUUAAUCUUAUAUUUUUUUCAAAAUUAUAUUAUUUUCUCAUAAAUUUAUACAAACUAAACAAUUUAUAUCAUACAAAUGAUUUUUUAUUUGUUGAAUUGUGUUUAUAUAGACAUUAAAUAAUUUAUUUAUUUAAAAAUAAGCAAAAUUUAAUAACUUCUUAAUUAAUGUAUGUUUUCUUAAAAAAAAAAAAUUUCUAAAACUGCGAGAAUAGCAAAUUAUUUGUACACACAUUUUAUCUGUAUAUCUUACACAACAUUAAUACACUGAUUAAUUUUGUCAGCUUAGAAAAUCUUGUUGUGCUAGGAAAUACUACUAGAAAGUUUUCUUUUUAGAUUAGGUUGUCCUUGUGAUAUAGCCUCUCUGACCUAUGAUUGCUCUUUGCUUGGAUCCUAUAAAUAUACAGUUAUAGGCAGUAUCAAUGUAUUAAAUCAUGUACUGUAUAUAUAUAUAUAUAUAUUAAUUUACAAGUAUUUUUCAAUUUAAAUUAGUAGAAAAUAAAAGAAGUAUAAAUUGCUUUGUAUAUACGGUAUUUUAUUUAUGGAACAUAUUUGAUCCAAUCAUGUUAUUAUAAGGCGUCGUAGUAGGUGGACGACGCUAUGCAAAGGUUUUUCAGUUUUUUACACGCUAUGUAAAGUUACUUUUCGACAUCUGUUUAUCUUCUUCUUCUUUUUUUUUUUUUUUUGGUUUUUACUUUCUUUAAUAGUUUUGUUUUAGAGACGUUCUAGAUGUCUUAAUAAAUAUUAAAUGUUAAAUAUAUAAUCUGAUCUACAAAGCUUUUCAUAUCAUAAAUUUUCCACUAAGAUCAAUUUAAUAAUACGCGUUACAUUGUUUGUUUGUUUUGUCGCUAUACACACACAUGUUUCAGAACAAACAAAUACUUUUUUUUUUCCUUUUUUGUUAAGAAAGCUUUGAUGAUUAAAUUGUUGACAAACAGUCAGAGUCUUUCUUGUCAACAAAUUCAUCAAAAAAACUAUAUAAUCCGAAAUUCACAAUGUUAUUAAUUAACUUUUUUAAUCAGAUGUUUUUUUCUCUCGUAAUUAGCUUAUAAGUAAUUAAUUACUUAUAUAUAUAUAUAUAUUUAAAAUGUGUUCUAUAAUGUUAUCAAAAGAGUGACCCUACGAAAAUGGGGGAGUCCACAAGAAUCAAAUAAGGGACCCAAGAAAGACUCGACCACCAAUCACCUGUGAUCACUCACAUACUUAAAACCUAUGAUCUUUGUUUGCCUUAACGGCAGGUGUCAUCUUGAAUCUCGAUCCCAUCACUCUCAGAGAUUGAGAUACCUUUCUCACUCAUGUACCCCACCCACCUCUGCACCAGUCUUGCUCAGUCGACAAUUUUAAGCUGCCCGUACUCGACAAAAGCUCAAGAAUACACAUUUACAAUGAUCCCGUUAAGCUGCCUGCCUCUAAAAAGGCCCAAAGGGCCUUACUCCCACAAACACAUAGGUCACGUGAUCUGAACGGUGGGAGAAACGCUUUCUUUUACACUUUAAAGCCUAUUAAACACACUAGAAAGGGCCUUAAAGCCCAUAUUAAAACGCCUUUCCUUUUUGCGCUUUUUCCGAUCGUCGUCACUCGUCACCUAUCGCAAGAUCCUCCUCGUCGAAGCUCUCUGCUGGAAAGCAAAGCAACCAUGUCCAACGAGGAGCAUCAUCUUGAGUCCAGCGACGCCGGAGCUUCCAUAAUCAACCAUGGCGUUUAUAGGGGUUGUCACUGAUUUAUGAACCUUUUCUAUUAUAAUUUAUGUGACCCUCUCAAUCUCUUUGUCAUGAGCUUCUUCUUCUUCAUCUUCUUCUUAUAUGUUCUUUUUAGAGUCUUUCUUUACUCAGAGACUAUCUUGUUUUUGGGUUUCUCUAGCUGCUUUGGGAUAUUUAAAAUGUUAGUUAUUAUAAAUGUCAUCUUCACGUCUGUAACCUUUGUCCUUUCAUGUUUUUGGCUGCCCCCAAAUGUGAACGAGUUCCACCCAUGAAUCUAACCUUUUAUGCGCGCCAAGUCUUUACUCGUGCGUUUGUGUCGAGAGACGUAUAAGCAAUUACUAUAUAAUAGAAUAAUGGAGUCUAAAAUUAUUGAAAUAUGCUAAACAAACCUCGAAAAGUAUCAGUUUUAUAAUACUGGUAUUUGGAUAUGAAACUUGAAAAGUAAAACUAAACGUUCUAUACAUUCAGUAUGGGAAAAAAUAUAUACGAGUAGUUGAUAAUCGUUUAAAACUCAAGAGUUCCCUUUUACUACAUAUAAUCAAAAUAAAAAAAUGUAAAACAUUUGUCCAAAAAAAAAAAAAUGUAAAACAAAACUUGACUUAAGAAGAUAAACAAUGAAAACAAGUAUAAUCUUAUACUAUAAACGAAGCUGUAAUAAAACUGUUGUGUGUUUUUAGAUCAAUUUUUUUAUUAUUAUUGUAGCAAUCACAUCUGAUCUCUUUGUUGUUGGUAAUAAAAUGAUUAAACUGGUGUAUUCAAAUCAUACAGGCAACGUGUGUCCCACAAUUAAUUAUAAGAAUGUUUAAUAUUAAGCUCUCAUGCCAAAAAGUCAAAUGUCUCUUCAAAAAAAGUCAUGUAGCCCAGUUUACUCAUCUCACGUUUCCUCCUAUUACAAAUAUACACCCAAAAGUCCACUAAACACAACCAAAAUUGAUUAAUGCUAUUAGUAUAGUAUACAAAAAGUUCAUUUCUUUCACUUCAACAAAAACAAAAAUUACAGAAAUAGCAUAUCAAAAACAAAUUAUAUGUAUUUUAACACUGUUUUAUCAUCAUCAUCAUCAGUCGAAUCACACAAGGAAAAAUCUUGUUUUUGUAUAAAGAAAAAAAAACACAGCUCUCAUGUUAUUAUGAUGAUGAGGCUUAUAUUCGAAAGCCCAUUAAGACACGAAAAUGGGCUUUAAAAAAAAACGGAAUGAUAGUUGUCAUAAUGUGAUUCGUACAACGUGGAGUAGCAGCAAGUGGCCAUGUCCGGCUGUCCCAGAGCCCUCUCUCUUCGAUCCAGGUUCACCGUACAUUACAAAUUACAAGACCGACGCUUUUUUUUUUUUUUUUUGGUAUGUAGGUGAAACCUAAAUUUUGAUCUAUUUGGUACAAUUAUUUUUUGUUUUGGUUUUGCUUUGACUGAGGUAUUCAGAUUUUUUGUUUGCUUUGCUAUGCUUUUUUUUUUUUUUAAUAAAAGGAUUAAAAACAAAUAAUUCUAGAUUAGUCUCGGUAACCUUAUGUUGUCGUGGUGGGAUUAGUAGUAGUAAUCAUUUCUUAACAUGUAAAAAAUUACAAUUCUAUGAAUUUGUGUAAUUCAUUUACCAUGAGCUCUUUAAAUGAUGUAUAUCUUUGUUUUAUUAAUAAAGAAAGUAUACAUAUUUUUUAAAUAGAAAAAUAAAGAUAAAAAUACAUACAUAAUUAAUAAGACCAAAAUCUAACAUUUCAAUUCAUAAAUGUACCUGUAAAUAAAACUGUACAAAACGACAGAAUAUCUAUUGAUCUUAAAAAUUAUAGUAUUUUAUUCCAAUUUUCUACUGACUCCUUAUAAAAUGGAAUUCACAUUUAUGUCUGAACUUUAUUCAAAAAAAAAGUAAAUCUAACUUGUCUGAACAUUACUACUCAAAUAAACCAUAUUAUUAAGAACUUUUUACACACUUUGACAAAAAAAAAAAAAGAGAAAUAGCUUUGUUUAAGAUUACACAUAUCUGCAGCGUGGACUUUCUACUGCGAACCCAAAAAGAGUUUUUAAUUUAUCUUUCUUAAGUUUCCAGAUCCGUUUUUAAUACCAGAGAAGGACAACAAAAAAAAAACUCGAAAUCUCCAUUAAAAGAGAACUGAUAGAUUAGAUAUUAAAAAGAACACAAAACAAAACGGCGAAGGCACAAAAAAAAAAAAAAGGUGAAGCGAAACACGACACGGAUUCACACAGAUAUAUACAAAAAGGAUUUUUUUAGAUUUGAGAACCCAAAAAAAAAAAAGUUUCCUUUUUUCUUCUCUGUUUUUGAUUGAUUAAUUGGGUUGUUGGGUUUUUCUCUUUUUGGAGAUCGAUGUCGGAAAAGGAAGAAGCUCCGUCGACAUCGAAGUCCACCGGAGCUCCGUCGCGUCCUACUUUAUCUCUUCCCCCACGUCCUUUCACUGAGAUGUUCUUUAACGGUGGCGUUGGAUUUAGUCCUGGUCCGAUGACUCUCGUCUCUAAUAUGUUCUCUGAUUCCGAUGAGUUUAGGUCUUUCUCUCAGCUCCUUGCUGGAGCCAUGGCUUCUCCUGCCACUGCUGCUGCUGCUGCUUCCACGGCUACUGAUUACCAGAGAAUUGCUGAAGGGAAUAAUAAUAACCAUAGCAGCUCGAGUGGUGGUGUUGAUGUUGACCCGAGAUUCAAGCAGAGCAGACCCACCGGUUUGAUGAUUUCUCAAUCUCAAUCUCCCUCGAUAUUCACCGUACCGCCUGGUUUAAGUCCGGCCAUGCGCCUCGAUUCACCUAGCUUUUUGGGUCUUUUCUCUCCCGUUCAGGUAGCUUUAAGAUUCAUCUUUUCAAUUUUGCUUUUUCUUUGUUUUUUUUUGGUUUCGUUGAAAAAUUUAAAAAUCUAUUUAUGGAAACUGUGUUGUUUGUGUCUUUCUUUGUUGAGCUGUUUCUUGUUUUUUUGUUUUGUUGGCGCUGGUGAGAGAAGAAAAUAAUAACACACGUAUUUGUUAGCAAAUCUUUAGGUAUAUUCCAACAAAUUCUAGAUUUUGUAACCAUUUUGCUGGAAUCGUUCUUAAGUCAAAAUUGGAGGUUAUGAGAUUUUUAGAUUGAUUUAGGGCUUCUUAGAGAUUUGGGGAUUUCUCCUAAAGGAAGGAACUUUUGCAACUCAACUGUAUUGAAAAGAUAGGACGUUUCAGACAAAAAAAAACAAAAGGAGGAGCUUGUGGAUCAAAUACUCAAGGUUCCUCAGUAAGGUUUCCUGGUGCCAUAUUCGAUAUCAUGUUCUUAUGAUCUGAUAUGUUUGAUUAUGGAACAAUAUGCUGUCUUUAGUCGAAAUGGAUCCUUUAAAACAGCUCUUUGCUAUAUUCUCUUUUGAUUUGGUUAUAUAGUUUUUGACUUGGGGGUUACUAGCAGGUUUCGUUUCUCUGGCUAUACUUUUUCUUGACUCUGAAUCUGUUUUACCUGUUUUGAUGAGUGCUCGGAUUUUUUUCGUUUUCGCGGUUCUUGUUCUAACCUGGAAUGUCACAAUGUGCAGGGAUCAUAUGGAAUGACACAUCAGCAAGCUCUAGCUCAAGUUACUGCUCAAGCAGUUCAAGCCAAUGCCAAUAUGCAACCACAAACCGAGUACCCUCCUUCCUCUCAAGUUCAAUCAUUUUCAUCGGCUCAAGCUCAGAUCCUAACCUCGGCUCCACAUUCUUCAGUACCAGCUCAAAGAGAAACCUCAGAUGUAACCAUCAUCGAGCACAGGUCACAACAGCCUGUAAAUGUUGACAAACCAGCUGAUGAUGGCUACAACUGGCGAAAAUAUGGGCAAAAGCAAGUUAAAGGCAGUGAGUUUCCUCGAAGCUAUUACAAGUGCACGAAUCCAGGAUGUCCUGUCAAGAAGAAGGUUGAGAGAUCUCUUGAUGGACAAGUAACGGAGAUCAUCUACAAAGGUCAGCACAGUCAUGAACCUCCUCAAAACACUAAGCGAGGAAACAAAGAUAGCUCCGCGAAUCUAAAUGGGAGUUUGAUAAAUAACAAUCGUGGGAGUUCUGAAUUGGCGGCGUCACAGUUUCAAACCAAUAGCUCCAACAAGACUAAGAGAGAGCAACAUGAAGCAGCUAGUCAAGCUACCACAACAGAGCACAUGUCUGAGGCCAGUGACAGUGAAGAAGUCGGUAAUGGAGAAACCGGAGUGAGAGAGAAAGAUGAAAACGAGCCUGAUACCAAGAGAAGGUAAAAUUAUAAGCUCUAUUGAUGAUUGAUUAUAAUUCAAAUUUUCAGUUUUUUGAUGAGUGAGAGUUUUGAUUAUGCAGAAAUAUAGAAGUUCGGGUUUCUGAACCAGCUGCUGCUGCUUCACAUAGAACCGUGACAGAGCCCAGAAUUAUUGUCCAAACGACUAGUGAAGUUGAUCUUCUAGAUGAUGGAUAUAGGUGGCGCAAAUAUGGACAAAAAGUUGUCAAAGGGAAUCCUUAUCCGAGGUAAUACAUGAAAAACCAUCGAUUUGUCUAGCUAUUACACUCUUUAAAAGGUGGAAUCCGGUGAUCAAUAAAGCUUAUGCCCUAUAACAUUGUGUUAUCUUUUUGAUCCUUAGGAGCUACUACAAGUGCACAACACCAGGAUGUGGAGUGAGGAAACAUGUAGAGAGAGCAGCAACAGAUGCAAAAGCUGUGGUAACAACAUAUGAAGGAAAACAUAACCAUGACCUUCCAGCAGCUAAAUCAAGCAGCCAUGCCGCUGCAGCGGCACAGUUAAGGCCAGAUAAUCGACAUGGCGGUUUGGCCAACUUAAAUCAGCAGCAGCAGCAGCAGCCCGUUGCGCGUCUAAGGCUUAAAGAAGAGCAAACAAUUUGAGAAAAGAAAAACAAUCUCUGACCUUUUUCAUGAUAAAGCUUUCAAACCCCACUCAUACACUUGUCUGAGAAAUCUAGCUGUUUGCAGGAAAGAAAGAGCUUCAGAAGGGGUUUGUUAUUCUAUGUUCUGGUGUAAAACUUAAGAAGCUCUUUAGGUUUUCAGGUUUCUGUUUUACUAAUAUGUGAAUUCUUUUGUACAUGAGGAAGGAAAUUACAGGGGGAUAUUUUGUGUUGUAUCUUUGUGUUAUUGUUUCAGUAAAGGAUAGGUCUUACAUUUUGUGGAUGAAAUUAUAAUCUUGUAAUAUCAAACUGUGUUUUCUUUUAUUUAUUAUCAAUAAUAUUAUCACAUAAUGGCUAAUGACACAAAUUUUGCUUUCUAUAGCUCAUUCACUCGUAGUCAUAUACAGAGAAAUUGUUGUUUCUAAAGGGUUUUUGAAUAAUGGAGUAAGAACUUGUGACGUUUGUACAAAUGAAUCUUUUUCAUGAGAUUAAUAAUUUCUGGAGUAGAUAUGGUUUUCCAAAAAAGACAUUGAUAUUUUCUUCUUCUUUAGUCUCUAAAAUACAAAUAUAUGAAAAGGUUCUCUGUUUUAAAUUUUUGUCUCUUUGCUCUCCCCAUUGAUUGAUUGAUUGGUUGAUCCUUCACUCUCUCACUGUGUUAUUUUGUAGUGAAUCACAUCAGAAAGCCCAUCAUUGUUUGUUAGUUAAAAGAGUUGGAAUCUGUCCGUGAUUCACGAAAUCAAUCUUGUUCAGCCUGACACAACACAGUACUUGCUCUGGAAGUUCCUCUGGUGAUUGAGCCUGUGUCAGAAAGAACAAAAAGCUUACUUGAGAAACACUCCAAUAAAGUAAGACCUACCAAAACAAAGUGUUCUUGGGAGAAUUUUUCAAGUACCUGAAUAGUUAAACCCAAAUCAAGAAUCCCAUUCUUGAUCCUAUCCCUGAAAGAUUCGAGUCCUUUCCUCGAUAUGUAACUGAAUCUAUGUAUAUCCAAAUCGAUCUCAAAGUAGUUUGGUCCCUGUCCAAAUGAUCAACACACAAACACACACACGGGCACAUAGCAUUAACCACAAAGCUCUGUAAAUGAAAUCUAAGAUAAUAUCUAUGAAAACGAAAGAAAGAGCUGUUAUCUAACCCGAAAGAAAUCGUGUUGCGGACGAGAAAGAACCGGUUUAUCGUUGUAUGCUGUGAUAAGUUUUCUCUCAGUAGAACUUAGCUGAAGAUCCUCAGGAUUUACCAAACCGGCCAGGAUCUUUAACCUCUCUCUGAAUGGAACUGUUGAUUCUCUCGUGAAUCCUUUCACUUUCUCCAUUUCAUCUUCCAUGAAUCUCUACAAAAACCAAAUCUUUUAAAAUCUCUUUAUAGAAACGUCAUAGCCGUUGGAUAGGAUCCAUCAUCAUCAUCAUCAUACCUUUAUGGUUUCUUGAAAGUGAGAUGAGAUUUCUUUGUGAUAAUUCUCAUUCAAUUUGAAGUAUAAGACUAAGCUAAGUCCUUCACCAUCAUAGUCACCAAACAUAGAGGUUGCAUACAUUGGAAGCUGGAUGUUCACAAUCAAGAGAUUGGGGAUAUCACAGACUUGUGAUGAUGUCGGUUUCAAAUUAGGGAGCUCAAUGUGCUGAGCAAUGUGGUUGAUCUUCUUAGGACACGCGAAAAGAUCGAUUCCAAUUGGUAUGUAAGGACUACAGUUUGGUGCAGGACUCUUUUGCUUGUCUCUGCAGAUGAUUUACACAAUACGAUUAAGAGUGGAUACAAAAACUGUUUGUCUACUUUCUUGAUCUGAAAUUUGAAUCCUAACCUGAAGAAAUUCAAUCCACGGAGCUUGAAACUAGAGGGAGAAAGUUCUGACCAGCUUCCUUGACUACUUAGCUUCUCUCCCAAAGAACGUUGAAUCACAGAACCGGCUUUUGGACGGUACAAGAGCUUCUCACCUGAAGCUGAUACAAGAUCAUUAGAAGAAAGUUAAAAAGAUUUAAACUUAUAAAGACUUUGUUCCUUUUUCUUCUUACAGAAAUCAGAUGCUCUUGAUUUGCUAUCGAUAGAUGUUCUUCGCACAGAAACCAUAACAACUUUUGAUGACUUCUUCCUGUGAUCUUGAUGAUCUUCACAAGUGGUACUCUUGAAAGUUUCAUGGUGAGAUUCAUCAGCCACUUGGUUUCUCUUUAUGCUAACUUCAUUCUUGCUUGAGUAUGUCUCUGAUUUGUUUCCAUCUAUUUUCAGGUAACUCUCGUAGAACUCUUCAUACUGAAUCACUUGUCCCAUUGCAGAAGCAUUUGCAUCUGCACAAAAAACAAGAUCAUGUUUUCAGACAAUCACAAACCAAUAUGUCUCUAGAUUUAUCGAGCUGCUAAUUUUUUACCUUCAAAGACACUACUAUUUGAACCAUCAUCAGAAUCAGAAUCGAUGUAGCUAAAGGAAUCGUACCAAGCUUCCUCAUGUGAUAUUCCUGGAAAUAGAAAAAAAGACUAAUCAAGAUUCAAGAAAACACAUUUUUAGAAAGAAAAAAAAAACAGAAUCAAGAUUGUGAGAAUGUUGGUCUUACGGUUUCCAUCGAUUUGGCUGCAGUUCCAUUGAAGCUGAGUUACAUGGAAGUUAGCGUUAGACAUCUCAGCUCUCUUACACAUCAUCUUGGCAGCACAGUUGUCGAAAUCAAGAUGAACAUAUUCGCUCACUGCAAAAUCCCUAACACUCGCAUUACUCAUGCGUUUCAUAGGAACAUCGGGCAUCGAAGCAGAUAUUUUGGACCGACAUUUGCCAGAUCGGCCACGUCUAUGCUUCUUCUGUUGAAGCUUGUUGUUGAGCUUUCUCUGAGAAGAAACGCAGCCACCCAUUCUUUUUUUUGAAGACUACUACUUCAUUCACCAGCUAAGCUAUAUAAAAAAAAAAAAAAUUCUGUAAGGAAUCUGUUGAAAAACAUUCAAGAGACAUAUAUAAUAAGAGACUACAAGAAGACCAUUACCAAAUAUCUUGUCUGAAACGAAAAUCAAAUGCCAAAAAAGAUUUGAAUAUUGCACCUUUUUGAAAAAAAUCUUCCAGAGAGGUCACUCGUAAGAACUGAUCUUCUUCACAAAAGAGAAUGCAUCAACAACAUUCAUAACAAUGGGAUGUUGAUUCAUGUAUCUUCAAGACCUUCAUAGAGGAAACAAAAAAAAAAAAUAGAAUGAGGUUUUGUAUUUUCAGAUAUUUGUGGCCUAGUUGGUUUGAAAUACAUAUUAUUUUAAAAUAAGCAAAUCAUCGAUAACAUCAAACGCAACAAAUGCAGCCAUUUGAAACGUGAAAGAUAAGAAAGAAAAAUCUUGAAAACACAAUUAAGCAUUGUUUUUUUUUUAAAUUGGAGAUUAAUCCAAAACUCAAAUCAUUUGUUAACCAAAACAUAAAAUACUUCAGACCCAUUUUUUUUAUUAUCAAAUCAAGAAAACAAACCAGAAGAAGAAGAAGAACAGAGGAAGGGGGGGAAAGAACAGAGGAAGAAGAGGAUCCUUGGGGGGGAAAAAGAAUCCUCUGUUUUCGUCUAUCUUCUUCUCUGCCUCUCUCUCUCUCUCUCUCUCUUUUGUCUCUGUGUCUUUUUUUCGUGUCAAUAAAGAAGAAGAAAUAAAAGAGAGAUAAUUAAGACAAGAUUAAGAACCCGUAAACACUCUGUUUCUCUAAGUAACCCGUUUUCCUCGGAUCCUUCCCCUCUAAAGUCUUCUCUUCUUCCCCGUUUAAAUCUCUCUGUUUCUUUGUCUCUCUUCUCUCUCUCUCUGCUUUUAAAUAAAUAUGAAUGUAUAUAUUUUCUUCUCCAUCUUAAUGAUUAUUUUCAAAGUAAAUUUGGGAUUCUGAUUAAUCGGGUUUUAAUUACAUUACAGAACAUAUGAGUUUUUUAUAUAUAUAACAGCACGUGUCGCCAUUUAUGGUAAAGUCUUCUUAAUUUCUUAACCUCUCUUUAAGACCGUGUCUUCUUCCUCAUCGUUGUGUACACAAACCUUUUCACCCGAUCUUUAAGGAAGGAAUACAAUUUUGUCCACAACAUGUUACAUGUAUUCAAUAGUUCUAACAAAUUUUAUUCAGACUUAAGAAUUUUAAAAAGUUAACGUUAACCUGAACGUAAAUAUAUAUAUAGAUACUGAUGAUGAAAACAAUGUCUAAUUAAGAUCGUCGGGACACUGAAGUAACAUUUUCUUUAUAAACGAAAUUAGAGAAGAUUCGUAUGUGGAGUUCUCGAGGAUCACAUGCUUAAUGUAUACGGCAUGUCCUAAUAUGUGUUAGAAAAAUGUCCUAAAACGUCGUUUAUAAUCCAACCAGUACUGUAAUAUAUGUUUCUAGCUAUUGUUAUAUAUCACGCAAAAUUUUCAUCCCAGCAAAGUUAGCUAAGUUAAUGCAUGUUGCCCUAUGAAGGGUUUGUGGGAUUUUUCAUUUUUGUAUGGAACCAGAUCAUAUAGAAGUUAUUAACUAUUAGUUUCAUAAUACACACACAUAGGUACUCCGGGGAAAAGAAAAUGGUACACUUUCGUGGUUCGUUUACAAAAAAAUAGUGAUUUGAUGUGCAAUUACAAUGUUGUUGUCAUGAUGGAAAUAAAGUUAUGUCGUUGUACAAUACAGUUUGUCAUUUAUUUUCUUAAUCUAAUCAUUCGUAAUAGAUUAAUUGAACAUUUUACAUAAAGCCGUCUUAGGAAUACAAUAAACUAUACUAAAAACAAUAUUAAGAUACAAAAAAAAAGUUAAUAAAAAGCCAUUAGUUAGUUCAAAGUCCUUUUCUUAGGAGAGUAAAUUAGUCUACGGAGAUUCAUUCUCAUCAGUCAUCAUUGAUUAUUAUUAUUUUUCUUCCAGUUGAAGCUGUUCUAUGAAAGAGACGUAAUUACCUGAUUCUCUGUGUUUUGUGGAACAAAUGAAAUUUAUUUAACUAAAACACACAACUGUAUAAUUGCAACGAAAACUAUUUAAAACUUUUAGACUAAUUUCACUUUGAUUUAUAUAUGUGUUCUUUCUUUUGUUGCUAAUUGUUACAUUACAUCUAUUACAUGUCACUUCCGAUUAAACUAGAUGGUAACGAGCUAAUAUUAAUAUCUUAAAUUUUCAUUUGCAGAUACAGUAUGUAUUCUGUUGCAUCCAAUCCUAUUUAGACAAUAGUAUAAAUUCCUUUUUUAGUUAAAAAUGACGUAAUUGUAAAGAAAAAGACUCAACAAUUGGAUUCUUGUUUAUUUCAACUAUGCUAUUGACGACGGCUCGUAUUUUAUGAUCUUACUUUCUAUAACAAAAGCAAAGAAAAGAUUAUCAAAAAUAAGAUACCACCAGAAAAGAAAUAAAAAUCAUUUCCGAAAAAGCAAGAAUAAUUCAGCAAAUCCAAUUAGUCAUACUGAUAUACCAAACAUGUCCUGAAAAAAACUAGUUCAUGUAUUCAAACCUUUUAAUGAGAAUAAUAAUUAUUAUCAUUAUAGCAUGUAGAAAAAGAAUAAACAAGAAUUGUUUCUGGACAAAAGAUUUAUGUAGGCUUUUUUAUUUUAUUUUUUGGUAUUAUUCUGAUUCUUCCCCAAGUUUACCAUUGUUAAGUUUUAAAAAAAUCUCUUACAUCUAGUUGAUUAUAUAAAAACUAGUAAUAUUUUUUCCCCCCAUUAUAACUCUUCCGAUCAUAAAAAAAAAACUUAGGGAUAAUAAAUAUUAAUAAGAAGAAAACUUGUUAGAACCCAUUGAGGGAGGCUAUAUUUUUUUCUCACCCAAAAGAUACAAAAAUAGGUUGGUAAGAUAAUAACAUUUGGGUGCACUUUUUCCUAGCAAAUUAAACUAGGUCUAGUUUUAAUAAUGGCAAUACAUAAAGAGAUCAGAUUAAAUGCGACAUCCACUUUGUCCAACUUACCAUAGUAAUUGUCAGAUGUUUUAUAAUAACCACGAUUGGUUUUGUUAGGGUUGCUGAGACCUGAUCAUAUGAGUACAGUCUCUACAAGUAAGAACGUAACUACAAUUAUAAUUGAUUACAUAGACACACUGUACGUAUAUUAACACAUUAUACCAUACACCAAUAUAACUAAUUAAAGUCUAAUUGAAAUAAUUAUAAGCUAAUUGCUACUGGAAAAAUAAAAAUUGCGCUGAGGAAGGUCUUUGCCAAAAUAGUGCUACAUGUUAAUUAGAAGAAGAGAGGAAGAUGAUAUAUUUAACUGGUGAAGCAUUAAAUUCCAGUUAAGAGGUUUGGGCAGAUGUAAGUGUAGUAGUUGGUACUUGAGACUUGACUUACACACACCAAAUCAAAACGUAUAUACACUUACAUGAUGUCACACCAUAAUUUACUUAACACAAAUUUUUAUUGAAAACUCCAACCAUACCAACCUGAUUCGUACUAGCUUAAUUUUUCUUUGAUCUAUUAUUCCAAACCUUAAGUUCUAACUAAUAUUUGGUUAAUAUUCCAAAUCAUGAUCCAAAAUGUAUAUGUAUUUUUCGUUUCAAUCUCAAGUAUACACCACGCGGUUCAAUUUAUAUGGCAACACAUCAAUUUUAAUACUCUAGUAGAAAGGAACUAAACUACUACUAUAUAUAAUAAGUCUCAUUAGUUUGCUUUAUGUAUUCUCUUCAAGCUUUCUAAUGCUAAACUAGAAACUAUUUAUUCGAUUUUAUACAUAUUAUUUAUUCGAAACUUUAUAAUAUACAGAGACCGGUGCAGUUUAGUAGUUAGUGGAUACCAUACAUAUCAUGAUACAAGUUAAUACUAUAAUUAGGAAGUAGAUACGUUCCAAACACAAUACUCGAACGUGUGUAUACCUUAGGAAACAUUUGCCAACUGGCUACUCUGUUUUAUACCAAAAGUCUAGAUAUCUAUAAAUCUAGGGGUGGAUGUAAUGAUUAGUACCAUAUACUUAUAUAUGUUUGAUACUCAAAGUUUAUAUUCAGUUAUAUAUUAAUUACAUGGAUGUACGUAAUUAAUGUCAAUAGAAAACAAAGAUCUCUCGUAAGUUAAUAUCUAAUCAAUUUGAAAACAUUUUUAUUUUUACCCAAAAGUUAUGUCAUUUGUCAUCUAUUUAGUAAAAAUACCAGACGCUUUUCGUCCACAACCUAUAAACAGAGCUUAGCUAUUUAGAUAUUUUUAUAGUUAAUGAUGAUGACGAAUCAUAGAUUGCUAAACAUACUAUAUUAUAUAUGGUUAUAAAAUGAUUGUUCAUUUUUCUUUGACACUAAUUAAACAUGAAAGAGACAUGUCCUUCGAGUGCAAGAAUACCUAAAACAGACAAAGCAAUAAGUCUAUGACAUAUCUUAUUGUGUUAUACUAAUUCCUUACAUACGUUUAUGUUGGACAAGUUAGUACUACAUAUAUUAGGUUUACGUAUUUUUCCGUUAUAAAAACUCUUAAGAAAAGUAUUGUCUCCCACUAUCCCAUUAGGACAAACUGGCAAAAGGCAACCACCUCAACAACAUCAAAGAACAAAGAAUUAUUCAACUGUUCUCCACAAUUUAUAUCAUAUAUUUAAAACUAUAUAGUAGGAGUACUUUUCUAAACUAUAUAGUAGGAGUACUUUUCUAAAUUUAAAUUGAUUGAUUUUGUUUUUCCAUUUUCUGAAAAUGACAAAUGUGAUAUGAUUGGUGGGGGAAAAAACAAAACAAAUUUAUAUAGUGAGGUGAGUAAAACAAAGUCAUUGCUCUAAUUGCUCUAAGGUAUCAUAAAUUGGGCCCGUAUAAGCCUGUUACAGGCCCAUUUGUAGUAUACAUGGUCAUGAAGUAAAAAGCUUUAGAUAUUUUGGGGGUCUAGAGCAUCAAUAUCAUGAAUUACAGACCCUUCUACAGUAAAACCUCUAAAAAUUAAUAAUGUUGGGACCAUGAAAAUCUAUUAAUUUAUAGAGGUAUUAAUUUAUCGAUAAAUUAAUAAUUAUUAUAGAGAGAUUUUCCUACUUUGAAAGUUUUUUUCAGAAAAAUAUUGAAAAAUGAGAUUUAAUCAUGAUAAUUAGUAUUUUAUAUAAUCAAUUACAAAGAAAAUAAUAAUUAUUAUAUCUUGAAAGAGAAUGCCAACAAUUUUUGAUAUAAUAAAAUAUUAGAAAUAAACUCUAACAAAAACUAAUGUGUCUAUAUAUACAUAUAUUUUGAAAAUUUUACCUAAUUAUUAAUUUAUAAUAUUAUUGGGACCAUAUAGUUACAAAGGAUUUUUAAAAAAUUAUUAUCUUAUUAUUUUAUCGAAAUAUGUAUAAAAUUACACUAGUCCCAGCUUGGGACCGGAGAAAUUUAUUAAUUUAUAGAGAUUAUUAAUUUAUCGAGUAUUAAUUUAUAGAGGUUUUACUGUACAUAGAAAUAUGACUAUUUGGCCAGACAAGGGUGUUUUCGUAAAUUCUAUCACUUACUUCUUUUUUUCUUUUUUUUGCUUUCUUCGCCUUUUGCUCCCUCCCCGAGAUUUUCCGAUCGUGCUUUCCUCAAAAGCAUUUCUGUUUGUCGUCGUCGGAGCCCGACGACAGAUCUUUGAAUCGCUGGAGAUUUAGUAAGUAAAUCUACAGAUCUCGUUUCCUUGAACUUCUUCUUCGUUUACUAUUUGUUUCCAUCGUUCCUUCGUUGUGCAUUGAUGAUGUUUGUAAUGUUUUACUAGAAUCUAAGUCAGAAGUUAUCUCUCUCUCUCUGUUACUCAGUUUUUGAACUAGAUUUCCAUUCUUGCGUCGAACGAGUUUCUUCUUCUUGUUGAUUCGCAUUGCUGGUGUUUUUCCUAAAUUCUGAGAUUUAGCGAGACCUGUUUCGAGUUUUUGGUCAUCUGAAGAACCGAUAAUAGUUUCGGAAUUGGUUUCGUAAAACGGUCACUGGUCUGCUGAAUUGUAGUUAAGCUUAGUCCAUCGAAGUUAGUGACUCUUUGACUGUAUAAGUUGCUGAUGCUAUAGAUGGGAUUAGUGUUAUCAGGUUUAUUGAUAUAACAAAGAGGUUGCAAACUUUGUUAUAUAGGGAUUUGUAGGAAUUGGUUUUCCUGGGGGAUCAAAUUGUAAGAAUUUGUUGCUUAGCUACUCAUAAACUAAUCUGCAACAUAAGUUACUACUGUGGAAGAGGUUACUCUGAAAAUGUUACUAAAUUAUUAGUAUGGUUUAAGACCAUUUUAUAUUUCUUUGCUUGUGGUUUAUAUCUUUGAAUCAAAGCGGCUAUUUUCAGAGACACUGUUGUAGUAUUUGAUUAACAUACGAGGUUGUCUUUCCUAAUAGCUCUGUAAAAGAAUCUGUAAUCUGUUUAAAACAACACUGUUGAUCUAAUCUGUUUGUUUCUUUUUUCCAGUAAUGAUGGAGUUUGGCAUCUAUUUGUGAAGGGUAUAUGCUCUGGUUGUAUCCACCUUAUAUUCUGCCAGGAAGAUCGUGAGCACCGAAGUGCCUUGGGCUCUGGCUGCAGAUUAGAGCAGAUUAAAUGGGUCGCCUAAAGUUGCAUUCUGGAAUUAACUCCAUUGAGGAAGAGCCUGAGGACUUUGAGAGUACUGAUUCAAGCAAUACAACCACUUUAGCAUGCAUGAUUGAUACAGAAAUUGCUGCUGUUUUAGCGGUUAUGAGAAGAAAUGUAAGAUGGGGGGGUCGAUACAUGGCUGGCGAUGAUCAACUAGAACACUCGUUGAUUCAGUCACUGAAAGCUCUUAGAAAACAGGUGUUCUCAUGGAACCAGCCAUGGCAUACGAUUAGUCCCAUAUUGUAUCUUCAGCCCUUUCUUGAUGUGAUACGUUCGGAUGAAACUGGAGCACCGAUAACCAGCAUUGCUUUGUCAUCAGUUUACAAAAUCUUAAAUCUGAAUGUAAUUGAUCAACAUACUGCAAAUAUUGAAGACGCAAUGCACUUGGUAGUUGAUUCUGUGACAAGCUGCCGGUUUGAGGUGACUGAUCCUGCAUCAGAAGAGGUUGUGCUAAUGAAGAUACUGCAGGUUCUUCUGGCAUGCAUGAAAAAUAAAGCAUCAGUUAUGCUAAGCAAUCAGCAUGUAUGCACUGUCGUCAAUACUUGUUUUCGUGUUGUCCACCAAGCAGGAAUGAAAGGUGAGUUAUUGCAACGUGUAGCUCGCCACACUAUGCAUGAACUAGUAAGGUGUAUCUUCGCGCAUCUCCCAGAUGUUGACAGAACAGAAAAUACACUUGUCAACAGGGCUGGAAGCAUCAAACAAGAGGUAUGAUAUUGGGGUCCUUGUUAUCGCCUUACUGGUUUAGUAAAGUCAAUUUGGAGUAUAAGUUUUGCAAGAUAUCUUCUUUCAGAUAGAAAUAUAUAUUUUUCCAGGAAAAAGAAGACUACCAAUUCUGCAUCUAGUUAAUAAUUAAUUUGUUUCGGAAGAACUUCCCCAACAGAUGCUAGAUUUAAUGCAUUUUUCUUAUGUUUUCAUAUAUUCCAUUUAUUGUGCAAUGAUUAGUGAUGGUCUUUUGCAUGGCCGCAGAAAGCUGGAGUAGACAGUGAUUAUGCCAUUGUGAGUAAACCAGUCGAGGAUGGAAAUGGUAACUCCGAGUAUGACACUGAAAAUUCUGUGGCAACUUUUGCAUCUGGUGCUCAAACUUUGAUGGAUGAUGGACCAGUUGGGCCUGGAAGCAGAAAGCCGGCUUCUCCAUAUGAUUUGCAUAUAAUGACAGAGCCAUACGGAGUUCCAAGUAUGGUGGAAAUAUUUCACUUUUUAUGUUCUUUGUUAAAUGUGGUUGAACAUGUUGGGAUGGGCUCCCGAUCAAACACCAUAGCAUUUGACGAAGAUGUGCCUCUGUUUGCGUUGAAUUUGAUAAACUCAGCCAUUGAACUUGGUGGGUCGUCAAUCCGCCAUCACCCAAGAUUGUUAAGCCUAAUUCAAGAUGAGUUAUUUCGUAACUUGAUGCAAUUCGGCUUGUCGAUGAGCCCCCUUAUUCUUUCGAUGGUUUGCAGCAUUGUGCUCAAUUUGUAUCAACAUCUACGUACCGAACUCAAAUUGCAGCUUGAGGCAUUCUUUUCCUGUGUGAUUCUGAGGCUUGCUCAAGGAAAAUAUGGACCUUCUUAUCAGCAGCAAGAGGUUGCUAUGGAGGCUCUUGUGAACUUCUGUAGGCAGAAGAGUUUUAUGGUGGAGAUGUAUGCCAAUCUUGAUUGUGAUAUAACUUGCAGCAACGUGUUUGAGGAGCUGUCUAAUCUUCUAUCGAAGAGCACAUUUCCUGUGAACUGUCCUUUGUCCGCAAUGCACAUUCUUGCUCUGGAUGGUCUAAUCGCUGUUAUUCAGGGAAUGGCUGAGAGGAUAAGUAAUGGAUUAACUGGUUUGGACUUAGGUCCUGUCCAUCUUGAUGAGUAUACGCCUUUCUGGAUGGUUAAGUGUGACAAUUACAGUGAUCCAAAUCACUGGGUUUCAUUUGUACGCAGAAGAAAAUAUAUCAAGAGAAGGUUAAUGAUUGGAGCAGAUCACUUUAACAGGGAUCCAAAGAAGGGGUUAGAGUUUCUCCAAGGGACACAUCUUUUGCCUGACAAACUUGAUCCCCAAAGUGUAGCUUGUUUUUUCAGAUAUACUGCUGGGCUUGAUAAGAACCUUGUUGGGGAUUUUCUUGGAAACCAUGACGAGUUCUGUGUUCAGGUUCUCAAUGAGUUUGCUGGGACUUUCGAUUUCCAGUACAUGAAUUUGGAUACUGCACUCCGACUCUUCUUGGAAACUUUCAGGUUGCCUGGAGAAUCUCAGAAAAUACAGAGAGUGCUUGAGGCGUUCUCUGAAAGGUACUAUAUGCAGUCUCCUGAGAUUCUGGCAAACAAGGAUGCUGCUCUUGUGUUAUCAUACUCGAUUAUCAUGCUUAACACUGAUCAACACAACGUUCAAGUAAAGAAAAAGAUGACAGAAGAGGAUUUUAUUCGUAACAAUAGGCAUAUCAAUGGAGGAAAUGAUCUACCUAGAGAAUUUUUGUCUGAACUCUAUCACUCCAUCUGCAACAACGAGAUCAGGACUACUCCAGAACAAGGUGCAGGCUUUCCUGAAAUGACUCCCAGCCGUUGGAUUGAUUUGAUGCAUAAAUCUAAAAAAACUGCUCCGUAUAUUAUGGCUGAUUCAAGGGCUUACCUUGACCAUGAUAUGUUUGCUAUUAUGUCUGGUCCAACCAUUGCUGCUAUAUCAGUCGUUUUUGACCAUGCGGAACAUGAAGAUGUUUACCAGACAUGCAUUGAUGGAUUCCUGGCUAUUGCUAAAAUAUCUGCCUGUCAUCAUCUAGAAGAUGUCCUUGAUGAUCUGGUUGUGUCUCUCUGCAAAUUCACAACUCUGUUGAAUCCAUCAUCUGUUGAUGAACCUGUUCUUGCAUUUGGUGAUGACGCAAAAGCGAGGAUGGCUACUAUCACUAUUUUUACCAUUGCAAACAAAUAUGGAGAUUAUAUACGUACAGGUUGGAGGAACAUAUUGGACUGUAUCUUACGGUUACAUAAACUUGGACUUCUGCCAGCACGUGUAGCCAGUGAUGCAGCUGAUGAAUCUGAACUUUCAUCUGAGCAAGGACAAGGAAAGCCCCUCGCGAAUUCCCUAUCUUCAGCUCAUCUACAGUCAAUGGGAACUCCAAGGAGAUCUUCCGGAUUGAUGGGAAGGUUUAGUCAGCUUCUCUCACUUGAUACAGAAGAGCCCAGAUCACAGCCUACUGAGCAACAGCUUGCAGCUCAUCAAAGAACACUUCAAACAAUUCAGAAGUGUCAUAUUGACAGUAUAUUUACCGAAAGCAAGUUUCUACAAGCUGAAUCUUUGUUGCAGCUUGCACGUGCUCUCAUUUGGGCUGCAGGUAGACCACAAAAAGGAACCAGCUCUCCUGAGGAUGAGGAUACUGCAGUUUUCUGUCUGGAAUUGCUUAUUGCAAUCACUCUUAACAACAGAGACAGGAUUGUUCUCCUAUGGCAAGGCGUCUAUGAACAUAUAGCUACAAUUGCUCAGUCAACGUUGAUGCCCUGCAACUUAGUGGAUAAAGCUAUUUUUGGCCUACUUCGGAUCUGCCAGAGACUACUUCCUUAUAAAGAAAGCCUAGCUGAUGAGCUUUUGAGAUCCCUUCAGCUUGUGCUGAAACUGGAUGCACGUGUUGCCGAUGCCUAUUGUGAGCAGAUUGCAGUUGAAGUCAGCCGUCUUGUGAAAGCCAAUGCUAAUCACAUCAGGUCUCAGGCUGGAUGGAGAACAAUCACAUCCUUACUCUCCAUCACAGCUAAGCACCCAGAAGCUUCUGAAGCAGGAUUUGAUGCGGUAUCCUUUGUUAUGUCUGAAGGAACUCACCUGUAUCCAGCCAAUUAUGUACUCUGUGUUGAUGCUGCAAGACAGUUUGCUGAAUCACGCGUGGGACAAUCGGAACGAUCUAUCCGUGCCCUCGACCUAAUGGAAGAUUCAUUAAAAUAUUUGGCUAAAUGGGUUCGAACAGCUAAGGAAAACAUGGGAGAAGAAGAUUUCGGGAAGAUGUCACAAGAUAUUGGGGAAAUGUGGUUGUGGCUUGUUCAAGGUCUAAGAAAAGUGUGUUUAGUCCAGAGGGAGGAUGUCCGAAACCACGCGUUACAGUCAUUACAAAAGUGUUUAGGCGGAGUAGAUGGGAUCAACCUAGGUCACAGCAUGUGGUCUCAAUGCUUUGACAAAGUAAUCUUCACGCUUUUAGAUGACUUACUUGAGCUAGCUGCUGGGUCACAAAAAGACUAUAGAAACAUGGAAGGCACACUGCUUCUCGCGAUCAAACUCCUCUCCAAAGUGUUUCUUCAGCAACUCCAAGAGCUAUCUCAGUUAUCAACCUUCUGCAAGCUAUGGCUCGGUGUUCUAACCCGAAUGGAGAAGUACAUGAAAGUGAAAGUAAGGGGCAAAAAAAGCGACAAGCUUCAAGAAUCCGUGCCAGAGCUUCUAAAGAACAUAUUGCUAGUGAUGAAGACCAAAGGAGUGCUUUUGCAAAGAAGUGCUCUUGGUGGAGAUAGCUUAUGGGAACUAACAUGGCUUCAUGUGAACAACAUCGUUCCUUCUAUGCGACUCGAGCUAUUCCCUGAUCAAGAAUCAACACAGCUUGGUGAUGAUGAGACCGUAGCGAAUGGCUUAUCUUCUCCUGAAGCGGGAGCAAACACAGCUGGUUUGUGACCUUAUAAAAUGAGAUUAUUAUUAGGUGAGUUUCUUUUGAACAUCCAUAUGAUUGUAAAAGUGAAAGCUUCUUAUGUAACCUCUCUACGCUUUUUUUUUUUUUUGUAAUAUAUACAUGUGUCUAAUUCAGAGAUCAAGUAAGCCCCCUCCGUUAUGAUGUUUUUAUUUGUCGCUCUGUUGAAUAUGAAACCCUCGGAACGGGUCAGAAGGUUUUGAGUAACUGUGGUACCCACCAAAAGGGGAAAAUAUCAGCGGAUUCAGUAGCUGCUUCCACGAGUUUCUUUUUAACCCGAUGAGUCGUUUACGUUACGUCGAGAAUUUUCCCAUUGAUUUUCUCGAGAAAAUUAAAAAAAAACCUAAGCAAGAGGAUUGUUUGAUUAGCCAAGGGGAGGAGAAGAAAAUCUAAGAACUGUGAUUUAUAGGGAUAAGAGGAAGUUCUAAAAUGGAGUCGCUGAUAUCUGUGUCUCCGUCUAUAAUACUUCCUCCGACCACUACUACGAUCUCCGUUUCAACUUCACGAUCAGUCUCGAUUCGUCUUCGUUCCAACCGUUCUUCUUCCCUUUCAGGCUUUUCCAGCUCCGGUAAACGAGUUUCGAUACCGAGAAGAAGAAGAAGACUGUUCGUUAGCUGUAAAUCGACCAGCGGCGGCGGAGGAGGAUCAGAUAAGCUUGGUGGCGAUGAGGAAGAAGAGAGCAAGGAAGUUGAGCGGGCGCUUCACUUGGACGGUACGAUCCCUGGGACUUCCGAUGAGUUUGUAAGGCAAGUCUCGUCUCGUGCUUACGAAAUGCGUCGGAAAUUAGAGCAGACGUUUGAUUCCACCAGCUAUGACGGUAUAACCUCUCUCAAUCUCUGCGUUUUCUUCGAUGACAUUUGGUGAUGAUGAAUAAAUUUCCUUGACUGAUACUUCCGUUGAUGUGCUGCUUGUUUGAAAUUCAUGUUUAUGUUUAACGUUUUGUUGAACAAUGUUAGAAUUUAGUCACUGUGUCACAACUAAGAUAGAUGUAGUGAGAGCUAUUCAACUAAUUGUUCUCUGCAUACCAUUUCUUUUUCAUUUCCAUUCCUAGUUUCCAGUCUUAUAGUAAGAUUGCAAGCAAAUAACUUAUUAAACAACACGGUUUUUAUCAUCUCAUCAUCCACAGAAAUGCUGAUGGAUUGGAAUAUCAAAAACAUAGACUUCUAGGAUGAGAACAUAAGUGUGGUCUAAAGUUUAUGUUCAUCUCAAGUUUAUGUAUCGAUGUUGUUCCUCUAGUGCUCUGUGUAUAAGCUUUAAUGAUUUCGUUGACUAACCCUCUGUCACUAUGUCAUGACAACAAUCUCAGUGUUGGAGUCCAACCCAUGGAGAGGGGACUCGAAGCCUGUAUAUGUACUAACACAGAGAGAAAACCAGAUCUGCACCAUGAAAACAAGAACGAACCACAGGUUCCAACUCUCUUCCACUCUGUUUAUUAGUUUUGGUUUUCCUAUUGCUUGCAUAACAGUAGCAAUCGGUUUAUAACAGUGAAGUAGAAAAAGAGCUUGGACUCUUGUUUCCUAGUAGGAUCAGCAACCAGACAAAACAGUCUAGACCCAAAACUAAAUUCGAUAUGCUCGUAGAAGACAUUCGAGAUGGUGUACUGGUAAGUAUUUUCAAUGAAUCACUUCCAACACCCUAUGGAAACCAACAAAAUGUGACCAUUUUUAUCUCAAAGGUUUUCGAAGAUAUGAAUGAGGCUGUUAAAUACUGUGACCUAUUACAAGGUGGAGGAAAAGGGUGUGAAGGCGUCGCUGAGAUUGAGGCCUCAUCUGUAAGAUUAUGCAACAAAGAUAUCAUUUCAUUCUAUAAAUUUGUCGCCUUAAACAUUUGACAAGUGAUCAACUUUGUUCUUUUUUUUUUGUUUGAAUAGGUUUUUGACCUUUGCCGAAAAACAAGGUCACUGGCAGUGCUCUUCCGCCGAGGAAGAACACCACCCACGCCUCAGACGCUGGAGCGUAAUCUGGGAUCCCGUAAGCGUUCUCUUGAGGACUUAAAGGAUGGUAAAUAAUAGAUUGUGAAACAAUUUAGAUCACCACGUUACAAUAAUUUGAAAAUACUUGUAUAAAUUAAACUGUAAUUAACCGUGUGUAUAUAUAUAAAAGAUACGUUUCGCUUGUGCUCCAUAUACCUCUCUUGAAGUUGCGCUCUUUACUUGAAGGCUUUUAAAGCUAACACUAGUACUCUAGUAGUUGUAUCAGCAUAAAUCUGGUUUACAGUUCGGACUUUUUAUUAUUUUUUCCUUCAUGUAUUAGUUGCUCGAUCAAUAUUACUAGUUGGGCAAAUAUGUUGGUUGACAAGAAAGACCAAUGUAUACUGAAUUUUCUUGACAUGAGAAAUAGUGACUAAAAUUUGUUAACAAUUAAAAAGUUAAGAUAGAUGCCAAAGGCAUAUGCGUGUGUGUGUAUUUAUAGAAGUCAUGUGAUAGAUGUGAUUCCAUGUUAUCCGGAUCGUUGACUUAGUUCCCCAUUUCAUACAAUUGACCAUAACGGUUAUUAUAUGAUUCAUAAUAGAGUAUUUUUUUAAUGUAUCAACUUAGCACUUUGUUAUAAAAAAAAAGGAAAAUUUUAGCAACUUUCUUUACUUAUUUUUUCUUAGAUCCAAAAGGGUAAGAUCAAGGUGACCAUUAUUGUAAGAAUUUGUAUAAAUACUUCUUCUUUUGUUUGUAUUGUCCUUCAAAUUAACCAAAUUUAAACUAAUUAUAGUAUUAUUAAAUAAAAUUAAAAGACUUUCUAAGAACAAAAAACAGCAUGAUCCCUUUUAUUCCUUCCUUUCCUUAGUCGGUCACUAAUAUAAUAAAGAGUUAAAAGACCAAAAGAGAAAAGUCAGAGAUAACAGUGACGGAGUUAGAAACUCACAAAAAUAGACGGAGGAAAAAGUCAUCAACAACUUGACGGCUAAGUUAACGGCGAUGAUCUACGUUCACACAAGCAAGCAAGAGACAAAAGAAAACAAAAAUCAUCGCCUCUCUCUCUCUCUCUAUCUGGUUGUUUCACAGUGAAGAAUUGAUUCCUCAAUCACACGGUACCUUAAUCCAAUCAUCUAAAAAUAUCCUAGAGAUCAGAUCACUGUUUCUCGCAUCGACUCGAUCCUCUCAAUUAUCUAAAAUCGGGUUGAGAUGAGCUCCGAUUUACCGGCGGCUGGAGACGGUGGCGAACAAGCCGCUGCUGCGGGAACGAGCGUGCCUUCACCUUCUUACGACAAACAAAAGGAGAAGGCACGUGUGAGCAGAACAUCUCUGAUUCUGUGGCACGCUCACCAAAACGACGCAGCUGCUGUUCGGAAACUCUUGGAGGAAGAUCCGUCUUUGGUUCACGCUAGAGACUAUGACAAACGGACGCCUCUCCACGUAGCCUCCCUUCACGGAUGGGUUGAUGUUGUUAAAUGUCUGCUCGAGUUUGGUGCUGAUGUCAACGCCCAGGAUAGGUGGAAGAACACGGUAUAAGGCCCUUCUUCCUUUCUUUUUUUUCCAUUUCGAUUUUGGGUUCCUUGAAAUGUCUCAACUUUGCUAUGAUUCUGAAUCUGAACUUUUUGUUUGUUUAUUGGUUUGGUUUUUGGGUAUUUGAAGCCUCUGGCUGAUGCAGAAGGAGCUAGGAAGCAGAAAAUGAUGGAACUGCUGAAAUCUCAUGGCGGUUUAUCUUAUGUGAGUUUUUGAACAUCCUUGUGAUCUUGUAAAUGUAUAGCCUUAGAUUAGACAUUGUCCGUUUUGUUUCAUUCUUUAGGGUAGGUAGUGAUUGUUUUCAUAUUGAAUAUGAACGAGUUUUUUAAAAAAAAUUUAAAAUUGAGGAACUUUCAUCUUCUCUCUGAAGUAGCUGCUUACUGCAUUGUUUUUUUUUUUAUACUUGAUUUCGGAGAUUCUAAGAGACACUUUAGUGUUUCAGUUACUCGUCCCUCUUUGUGUGGGUAUCUUAGUCUCUGUAUCUGGCUGAGUGAAUUUUUGAUGCAGGGUCAAAAUGGAAGUCACUUUGAACCAAAGCCUGUGCCACCACCAAUUCCAAAGAAAUGUGACUGGGAAAUUGAGCCUGCUGAGCUGGAUUUCUCAAAUGCCGCAAUGAUUGGAAAGGUUGGUAUAUUAAGCAUUCUCUGUGUUUAGUUCAAUACGAUGGAGUUCGUGUAGUGAGAUUGGUCGCAUGUUCUGUUAGGGUUCCUUUGGUGAGAUUGUGAAAGCCUAUUGGAGAGGAACACCAGUAGCUGUGAAACGUAUUCUUCCAUCUCUUUCAGAUGAUAGACUGGUUAUGUAAGUUCUUAUUUCCGUCUCUUAUAUUUCAAUUGCUCUUUCCUAAGUUUCUUGUGCUUCAUAAGUUCCAUAUUUACUGUGAUGCAGUCAGGACUUCAGGCAUGAGGUUGAUUUGCUAGUUAAGCUUCGUCAUCCUAACAUAGUGCAAUUCUUAGGAGCUGUAACCGAAAGAAAGCCUCUUAUGUUAAUCACUGAAUACUUGCGUGGGGUAAGUUUUCGCUAUCAACUGUCUUUUAUUGCUGCAAAUUUUCAUCUUGGCUAACUAAAUGAUUCAUCUAAUUUUCACAGGGGGAUCUUCAUCAAUACCUUAAGGAAAAGGGUGGUCUUACUCCAGCAACUGCAGUCAACUUUGCGUUGGAUAUCGCGAGGUAUGUGAAGUUUUAACAUUCGAGAUAUCAUGUGAAAGUUUGUUCAUCAUAGUCGGCCUGAGUGUUUUCUAAAAUUUGUUGUUACAGAGGAAUGACAUAUCUUCACAAUGAACCAAAUGUUAUCAUUCACCGAGAUCUUAAACCAAGGUAAUCAAACUGAAUCAUAGCUCCUCAGUUUCUAACUUCAAAUUUGCUGUUUGUAAACUGCUUCUUGCAUUUUAUAUUUCAGGAACGUUCUUUUGGUUAAUUCCAGUGCAGACCACUUGAAAGUUGGAGACUUUGGGCUUAGUAAACUCAUAAAGGUUCAAAACUCUCAUGAUGUCUACAAAAUGACUGGUGAAACAGGCAGCUGUAAGUGUUGUUGUAUAGUAAAAGCAGAUGCCAUCUCCCUUUUUCGUUCUUUCAUCUCUCUAACUUCACCUCUUUUGUCUCUCUUCUUCGUUCAACAAAACCAGACCGGUAUAUGGCUCCUGAAGUAUUCAAGCAUAGAAGAUAUGACAAGAAAGUUGAUGUCUUCUCCUUUGCAAUGAUACUUUACGAGGUACUACGAUCUUUAACGAUAAAAAAACAUCUACAAUAUAUGUCUAUAAUAAACAGAACCAAAGCUCAGAGAAUUUUAACCUUAAUUUCGUUAUCACAUUGUUGUAUUCCAGAUGCUUGAAGGAGAGCCACCGUUUGCGAACCACGAGCCAUAUGAAGCUGCCAAACAUGUAUCAGAUGGACACAGACCUACAUUCCGUUCCAAAGGAUGCACACCGGAUUUAAGAGAGUAAGCACAACUCAAGGCCAUGUGAAUUAGUUUUAGUCUAUAUGAUAACGUAACUAACAAGUUCUCUUGCUUAUAAUAGGUUAAUUGUGAAAUGCUGGGAGGCGGACAUGAACCAGAGACCGUCGUUUCUGGACAUCCUGAAGAAACUUGAAAAGAUCAAGGAAACUCUACCAUCAGAUCACCAUUGGGGCUUAUUCACUUCAUAAUACACGAAGUCAUUAUUUAUAAACAAAAACAACCAGAAACAAGAAAGUGAUAUUCUGUUUGCUUAUUAUUCUCUGUUUCUUAUCUUUUGUAAAGAUUGUUUCUUUUUCAUAUUAUCAUUUGUUUUACAGUAAACGAAUUAAAGAGUGUGACAUAAAAGAUUUAAAUGUUCCAUGUAUUGGAUUGGCAGGUUAAUGAGAAUAUGAGAUGUUACGAUCAUAUCUGACAGGGUAAAAUGACAUGUAUCCGAAAAAUCCAGUAACAAAAUGAAGCUCGACAAAAAUGAAAUCAGUUGCGUAUAUAAAGCUAUAGUCUUAGGGUUUUCAGUACAAUCUCUGUCUUUUAGAUGAGCUUCUUUUUUUGGAAGAAAGUCCUCAAGUGCCAAAACUGAAGACCUGCGACCGAUAAACAAACUGCAAGCGACACCAAACUCAACCAUGCCAUCUUCGAGUGAGUCGAUAUGUUCAGAUUGUGCAUUUCUUCUUCCCUGCAACAUACCAAAUGAAGAUGGGUUUUGAGUCAUUCUCUUCCUCAGAUUAAGUGAUUUGAAGAGAAAACAUGUUUUUUCAUAGUUACCUGUCACGGAGAUAGAACAUCUCUUCGUGGAUGGAAUUCACCGUUUCAAACAACUUCUUAACCUCAAACUCCAUAGUCUGGCCAAUAACAUCAAGAUACGACCAUUGCAAGGUUAACAAAUCAUUCCUUUAAAACUGUGCAAUCUCUUUGAGAGGCUAUAUUUUACAUUUCAAGUUAGUCUUGCGCUGUCCUGUGUUAAAUCCUAGUUCUAUCUACUUUCAUCUUAAGAUAGUAUUGCUCUGUAGUAAUAUGUUAAAGCCUAGUCCAAACAACCUUCAUUUUGGGAAAGAACUCCUGAAUGAGAGCUGCCGAAAUUGAUUGUGUAACAAUAAGCAAUUAAUGUCCUCAUAUGUAAGACUGAAAACACACAACCCCUAUCAGUUGGGUUUGAACCCUAGGCAGUGUUGCAGAUUCAAAUUCAUGGCCUUGUUCAAAUCAAACCAAUCCAACAUAAUCUAGAAACCUAGACAACCGAGCAUUUCUCAAAUCACAUAUAACUUUUCAGUUUCCAGCAUUACGUCUUCGUCUAACUUAGCAAUCAAUUUCUCACACACCCGGACACAAUGCUCAACUCUUCAUAUAACAGUCGCAUCAAAAUCUAUUUUCCUCUGUGAGAUUAGUUUGACUAAGUUAAGACUUUAGAAGAAGCAAAAACUUACUUCAACUUGGCUCUUCUUGGCCACAGUGGACCAAUCCUUGGUAUGGAUACCCGUCCUCCAAUCAAAGUCAAUGGUAAGCGUCGUCUCCGGCUUGUGAUCGACGGCGGAGAAGCAAGAUAUAUAAUCCCCUGUAUCCACCGCUGUAAACGAGAACUGACCCGAUUCUACAUUGUCUGAUUCGUGGUAAGCCGUUCCUUGCGGCGACGUGACCUAAAAGUCAACACCAUUGCAUUAAACCGAAAUCAAAUAGAAGGAAUUGCGAUCAAUUUUUAAGAUCGAGAGAUUUGAAACAUGUAUUACUAAUUAUUACCCUGACGGUGAUUUUAUGAGAAGAAGGAAGAGGAUGAUGAUCGUCGUUAGGGUUUACGACGCUGUAUUUCCCGACGGUCAAUGCGUUGGCGUGAAUCUCCUCUGAGAUGCAUUUCGUGUGACCAGAAAUUAUCUCGUAUCGCAUAGAUAGCGUCACCGGGGAUAAAAUAGAAAGGAUCAACAGUGCUAUCGAGCUCCGACGAAGAUCCAUGGCUGCUCCGAUGUCGAGAGAGAGAGAAAUCGAUCUGACGGGUUUCAAAUGCUCCGCUGGUUAAAGGAAAAGGGAAGGAGACAAAGAAAGUCAAAACACAGACAUUGCCACGUGUAACCGUUUCAUUCGUUGAAACACGUGGUUUUAUCUUUUAAAACUGAUGCCUCUCAAAUGGGCUAUUAAAUUUAAGGCCCAAUGGAUUUUUCUUCUAAAUUAGUACCGCCCCAAAAUUAGAAGAUAAAUAAAUAAAUAACUCUUCCAGAUUCAUUUUACUUAAAUCAUUCGUCUCUGUAAUGUUAAUUUUAAACUUAAUUAGGAAAAUAAUUGUCUUUUUUUUUUCUUGUGUAAAGAAGAAAUAAUAACUUUCCUUGGAAGGAACGUUAAUAAUGCAAAGUAAAUGCAAUACUGAGUUGAGGUUAUAUUUGUCAGGGAUAUCGUUUUAGUUUUUUGUUUGUUUUAGAUAAUGUCCUACAACAUCAUUAAUUAAGCUUUAACAGUUAAAACACAAAACAUUGAAACGUGAUUAGUGCAAUAAAUAGAAGACAAGAUAAAUAAAGUAGUAGUCGGAGAACAAUUAGGUGAAAUCGUUGACGAAUGACAACGACAUACCAAAAAGGCAAAAUGUGUCAUCUUUCUUUCUUUCUCUUAUUAUAGUAAUGUAUGUGUUUCAGAGUUGAAUAUUCUUGGAAAUCUUUGUUCUUCGACAUUUUGAAAUCGGCUAUUAUUUUUUUUUUUUUUUUUUUAACACUUCAACUCUUUAUUAAUUAGAAACGGAGACAUCAUUGUUUAAACCAGAAGCUAUACAUCUGGGAAUAAGUUGAAAAAAAGAAAAGGACAAUGGGUUCAAACGUUGAGUAGAAGCUAAAAUAUCUACCGGGAUAUUGUUACUUCUUGGAGUCCAAGUAAACUCCACAGCUUCGAAUAGAGUAGCCAAACCUUUGAUCUCAUGAAUCCAAUUGAGAAGAUCAUAGCAAACAGCAGAACCAGUUAAGAGACGAACAAGAACUUGAUUAUCUCCUUCAAAAACUACUUUAUUAAAACCGCGCAACCAGGCAUGCUUCAUUGCACAAACCAAACCUUGACACUCAGCUGCAAUAAUAGAGGGAACCGGGAGACCUGUAGCUUGAGCAGCUUCAAUGAAAGAACCAGAAUCAUCUUAAACAACCAACCCAUAGAAGCUUGAAUACGAUUGUCAAUGAAACCACUAUCGUAAUUACACUUUACCCAGUUCAAAACUGGUUUACACCAACCACGAUUGGGAGGAUUAGUCAAAUAAACACCAGAACCAGAGAAGGCGUAUGAAUAAGAGAACUUUCAACAGAAAACCAUUCCUCUGCCUCUUGUCUAGCUUCACGGAUAUCACGUUGCCAAUUAGUAUGUUUCCUUUCAAAAACCAAACGAUUUCGGCUCUUCCAAAUUUUCCAGAGAAUCCAAAAAGGCAAAUGAGCAAGAAAAUCAUAAAUUCCUUUAUACUUAUGAAACUGCAGCAAAUCUCUCAACUUAGUUUCCAAAUUAUCUUGCGGAUUUGUAAGACUGGGAAUAGGGAGAUGAGAGGCUCUCCAAAUCUGCAAGGCAUGCGGACAGUUAAAGAAAAGAUGAACAGUAGUUUCACUAUCAGAAUCACACCUUUUACAGCGGGUUGCAGGAGCUAUAUGCCUUUUUUCAAGUUCUUCCCCCGUAGCUAAAGCACGAGAUAACAAACGCCACAAGAAAUGCUUAAUCUUAGGAGCAGUGUGAGUUUUCCAAAUAUCCCUUUUUAAAUUUGGAUCACCAUGAGGAGGUCUAUCUCUCCAGAUAGCAUCCGGAAGGUGAGAAGCCAGCCAAUACCCAGUCUUAACCGAAUAAAUCCCAUUGUCCGAAUAAUGCCAACCAAUAAAAUCAUUACUCUGAUAAGGGCUAAUUUUGAUAGAGAGGAUAGUAGGAAUAUCAUCAAGGUGAACCAGUUCUCUCAACAAUCUAAUAUUCCAACCUGACUUAUCUGGGAGAAAAAACUGAUUUAACGGAUGAUGGACCUCACUAUUAUUAUCAAGUCUCCUAGGAGGACGAGGAGGGUGGAUAGGCAGCCACGGAUCAAGCCAAGUUUGAAUCAAAUAACCAUCUCCAACAGUAAAACGCAAACCAGACUUUAAUAAUUGUUGACCAUGAAGGAUAGAUUGCCAAGCAAAAGAAGGUUGAAAGCCUCUAGAUGCAGUGAGAAUAUUAGAUUUAGCAAAGUAUCUUCCCCGGAAAGUACGAGCCAUAAGACAAUCGGGAAAUUGAAGAAUUCUCCAGACCUGUUUUGCAAGCAAAGCAUCGUUGAACUUUUCAAUGUCCCGAAAACCAAGACCUCCCUCAUUUUUGUAUACUUCAAUCGGUUCCAAGCCACCCAAUGAACUGAUUUCCGAUGAUCAUGAGAAUUCCACCAAUAAUCAGCCAUAAUACGUUCUAUGUCCUCACAAAUACUCUUUGGAAGCUUAAAACAGUUCAUAGUAUAAACAUGCAUCGCAAGAGCAAUAGACUUAAGCAGAAUCUCCUUACCACCAUGAGAAAGAAACUUAUUACUCCAGCCUUUAGUAGCUUGUCUCACUUUCUCAACAAUAAACUGGAAUAACUCCACCUUUUUUCUACCAAAUUGCUCAGGUAAACCAAGGUAUUUACUACAACCUCCAUCGUUAAAAAUUUGAAGACACCGACGCAUCAGAUUUCUAGUCGAAGUCGUGACUCUUUUACCAAAAGUAAUAGCAGACUUACUCUUGUUAACUCUCUGCCCAGAAGCUUGCUCAUACUGAUGCAAUAUGUCAGAAAUCACAGAAACUGAAUUCAUAUUAGCUUGACAAAAAAAGAGAGAAUCAUCUGCAAAAAGUAAGUGGCUAAUAGCAGGACUCCCAUUACUGAUCUUUAUUCCUUUUAGCGAACCAUUAGCUUCAGCUCUCUUCAACAUGUGACUUAAGACCUCAGCACAAAGAAUAAAUAGAUAGGGAGACAGCGGGUCACCUUGACGAAUACCUCUUUCUGGUUUAAUAAAACCCUUGGGAGCACCAUUUAUAUGGACUGAAUAAGAGGUAGUUCUGACACAAGUCAUGAUCCAUUCAACCCAUUUGGCAUCAAACCCAAAUUUACACAUAGUUUCUUGGAGAAAAUCCCAUUCAAGACGAUCAUAAGCUUUGAUAAUAUCAGUUUUUAUGGCCAUAAAAGAGUUAGAACAUCUCUUCUUGACUUUCAAAGCAUGGAUAAGCUCAUGAGCUAUAAGAACAUUAUCAGUGAUGACACGACCAGGAAUAAAAGCAGCCUGUUCCUCCGAGAUAAGACUAGCAAGGUGAGUUUUUAAACGCUCCACUAGAAUCUUAGAGAUGAUCUUGUAGCUUACAUUACAAAGAGCAAUGGGGCGAAAAUCACAUAACUGGCGAGCACCAUCAAUCUUGGGGAUCAAACAAAUAUUUGUAUGAUUCAUAGAAGUAUCAAAUCUACCUUCUUCAAAGAAACCUCUCACAGCCAACAUAAGAUCAGAUUUAAUAUCAUCCCAAUAGGUUUGAUAAAAAGCACCAGUGAAGCCAUCAGGACCAGGAGCCUUAGUAGCACCUAUAGAGAAAACAGCCCUUUUGAUCUCAUCCUCAGAAACCUUCCUAGUAAGGUCAGAAUUAAUAGCAGAAGUAACCCUCGGCUGAAAUUCAUUAAACACAUGAAAGUGGUUAUUCUGAGGAGAUAAAUCAGAUUUAAACAAAGUUGUGAAAAAAUCCUGAGCAACGUAACCCAUUUGAGUGUCUCCACGAUGCUCAAUACCCUCAUGAUCCAGAAUGGAAAACAACUUUUUACGACCAACUCUACUCUUAGCAGAUGUAUAGAAAAAUUUCGUGUUCCGAUCUCCUUUGGCCAUCCAAUCUUUCCGGCUUUUAAGUCUCCAAAACUCCUCUUCUUCAUCAUAAGCACGACGUAGAUUAUUACGUAAACUCUGAAUCUCAUGCGUAGAAGAACCAUUAGAACAGGCCGUGUUAAGACGAUUUUUGAGAAUAGCAAUGUCUUCCUUUGCAUUAAAUCUAUGAAAACGCUUCCAUUUAGAAAUUUCCUUGCGACAGGAAAUAAGCCGAGAAGAAAUAUUAAUCUGUCUAGUCCCUGACCCAUUCCAACCCCUUUGAACAGCAGCUUUAAACCCAUCUUUAUCAACCAAUCUUUUAUCAAAACAGAACUGACCUUGAUGGGGCACAAAAUCAUUAGUGAUGGUAGUAACAAGAGGACGAUGAUCAGAUUCAAGCAAUUCUAAAAAUUCAGCAUGAGAAGCCGGAUACUGCGCAAUCCACUCAUUAUUAACCAAUGUUCUGUCCAAACAGCAAGCCACAUCAUGAGAAUGUCUCUUUCCAACCCAACUAAACGGAUCACCAGUAUACUUGAGGUCAUGGAAAUCACAGGUAUGAAGCAUAUUUCUGAAAUCAAGGAAAGAAUUCUCAGAACGAGGGGGACCUCCUUUCUUUUCAGCAUUACUCUUAAUCUCAUUAAAAUCACCUAUGGCCAUCCAAGGACCAGUUCUGGAAGCAGCAAGUCUCUCAAGUCUUUCCCAAACCAGAUGGCGAAAGAUAGGAUUUGGGUUACCAUACACACAAGACAAGUAGAAACCAAAUCCAUUAAUUUCAACAUACGUAUCUACAAGGUUUGGAGAAAGAGAGAUGACUGAAACAGAAACACAACUACUCCACAUGAGAGCUAUACCACCACUUAGACCAGCAGGAGGGACAGUUACAACAUUAGAAAAACCAAGAUCACCACAAACAUCCCUAACUACAUCAUCCUGCUGCUUUGUUUCCAUAAGGCAAAUAAUGUCCGGAGAGAAUUUCUUCUUAAUCUCCUUCAAACGUCGAACUGCGAGGUCAUUGCCUACUCCUCUACAGUUCCAAGCAGUUGUCCUCAUGGAGGAAGAGGUGGUUGAUUAUACCAUGUUUUUCUAAUCAAUCAUUCUUUUUUCCAAACUCAUAUAUUAUUUUAUAUAACCAAAAAAAUUGGCAUUUAGUUAAGUUAAGGGAUUAAGAUUUUUGUUUUAAUUUUUUUAAUAAUGCAAAUAGAAUGAAAUUUUCUCGGGAAAAUAAUAAAUAGAAGAAGAAGAAGACACUUGACGGUUAUUAACUUAUUUCCCCAUCUCUUCACCGUUACCACUUACCACCUCUUUCUUUUUUCCCGUCUCGUGAUUUUGUUUUUCUUCUUAAUUUCGAAUUUACUCGGAAAAAAAAAAAAAAAAAAAAACUCUUCCUCGAGAUUCAAACCUUUGACAACACAAGGAGGAGAGAAGAAGAAGCAUUUCAUUUCAUUUCGCGUUUCUCAUCUAAUUUUUAAUUUCUGCAUUUUGACAAUCCCGGAAAAUUUUGUUAACAUCUUCACAAGAUCGGAGAAAAUUUUUUAGGUUUUAGAAUUUUUAUUUUUAUCUCAUGAAGCGGCGACGACGAUCGUCGGAGGAGGGAGAUGGAAGUUAGAUCGGAGAGUGUUACUUCUACUCAGGCGCGAAGCGAUAUUAAGCUUCCGCAUCCGUCGGCAGUUCUCAAGCCUCGUGUACAAGUAUGGUUCGUUAGAGUUUGCUCCAGCAUUUUGGUUUGGACCUGUUUGGUUCAGCUUUUCGCCGCCGGUGAGCUUUGGCAUUCCCGGAUCUUCACUGGUUUAACCAAUCAGAUUUUCAGAUUCUCUGCCCCUCUCGAGCCAGUUCCGUUGCCACCUCCUCUACCUCCUCCGAGUUAGUUUUCUCUCUUUUUCUUUUUGGGGCGUUACGGUUCUAUCUCGUCUUCGUUGGUGUGUAACGAGAUUAAUCGAUUUAUUUUUUUGUAGGAAAUUAUACAAGCAAUGGUAUUCUACUUGUAUCCUGUAAUGGUGGAUUGAAUCAAAUGCGAUCCGCGGUAGGUGGUCACUUUGCUUUAAUUGCUCCUUUUUCGACCUUUUAUUCAGAUUUGAAUGUUUCCAAAUUCUGAUUUAUGUUGUUUUCAGAUAUGUGAUAUGGUGACUGUUGCUCGGCUAUUAAACCUCACUCUCGUUGUUCCAGAGCUUGACAAAACAUCUUUCUGGUCUGAUCCUAGGUAUUGAAUCUUCAGAGGAUCUUUCACUUCUGAUAGGCCUAUCCUCUUCUUCUGUUUUUUGGUAGCUCUGUAGGAAUCUAAAGCAUAGUAAUUUUUCGUUUGCAGUGGUUUUGAGGAUAUUUUUGAUGUGAGACAUUUCAUUGAUUCAUUAAGAGAUGAAGUUCGUAUCUUAAGGAGGCUUCCAAAACGGUAUAGAAAGAAGUAUGGUUAUCAAAUGUUCGAAAUGCCUCCUGUAAGCUGGUCCGAUGAGAAAUACUACUUGAAGCAGGUUAGUGCUGUUCAUGUAUAGUUUGCUGUUUUGGUUCCUCUCACUAUAACUAUUACAAGUUCUUGUUGCGAGUGUUGUCCUAGCUGCUGAGUUCUUUCUUUAUUUGACGAUCUGCCUUUGUGAUUGGUUAAAUUCCUUGUUCAGGUAUUGCCCCUUUUCAGCAAACAUAAAGUCUUACACUUCAAUAGGACCGAUACCCGCCUGGCAAACAAUGGUCUUCCGCUCCCACUACAGUGGCUUAGGUGCCGGGUGAACUUCCAGGGACUAAAGUUCACUCCACAGCUUGAGGCUUUGGGAUCUAAGUUAGUUCGAAUUCUACAACAAAGAGGGCCAUUCGUGGCUUUGCAUCUGAGAUAUGAGAUGGACAUGUUAGCCUUCUCUGGUUGCACUCAUGGUUGCACUGAGGAAGAAGCAGAAGAAUUAAAAAAGAUGAGGUUGUUCUUUAGCAAAUCUGUCCUGAAUUGUUAUUCCAAUUUUAAAGAAAAAAAAAGAUGAUAAUUUGAUGUUAAUGCAUGGAUCCAUUUUGUGUUCUUUAGGUACACAUAUCCCUGGUGGAGAGAGAAGGAGAUAGUUUCUGAGGAGAGGAGAGCUCAAGGGCUUUGUCCUCUGACUCCAGAGGAGGUAGCAUUGGUUCUAAAAGCACUAGGAUUCGAGAAAAAUACACAGAUAUACAUUGCAGCUGGUGAGAUUUAUGGGAGCGAGCGUAGACUAUCCGUUCUAAGGGAAGCAUUCCCGAGAAUUGUGAGUCUACCAGUCCUGGUCUCCCUUUUCUUGCUACAACGAGUGAUAAAGGGAUCUUCAUUAUAUCAGUUUUGAAUACAUGUUAUAGGUAAAGAAGGAAAUGCUACUGGAGUCAGCGGAGCUCCAACAGUUUCAGAACCAUUCAUCUCAAAUGGCUGCUUUAGAUUUUAUGGUAUCUGUAGCCAGCAACACUUUUAUUCCUACCUAUGAUGGAAACAUGGCAAAAGUGGUGGAAGGUCAUCGGAGGUAACUUUUUUUGAUAUUGAAUGCAUUCCUCUCCAUGAAAACUGACAACUUACUGGAAAAUUAUUCCUGUGAUUCAAUGUAAAACACAAUUGGUCGAUUUGAAUUUGCAGAUACCUUGGAUAUAAGAAAACAGUCCUGCUUGACCGUAAGAAACUCGUGGAGCUACUAGACUUGCAUCAAAACAAGACCCUCACGUGGGAUCAAUUUGCAGUAGCCGUCAAGGUAGCCCAUGAGAAACGAACGGGAGCACCUACACACCGAAGAGUAAUCUCUGACAAACCUAAGGAGGAAGAUUACUUCUACGCAAACCCUCAAGAGUGUCUUUGUGAAGGUACAAAUUGCCACGACCUGUUUGGGCACAGAAAUUCCAAUUUAACACUUUAAAGUCAUGUUUUUAGCAUAUUAUCUCAUUGCUUCUGCAAGAGGACGGCAUGCCAAACACUGGAAUGGGAGCUGCAUAGUUCCUGCCCCGAGUUUUUCUCCAUUUUUGUUUGUAACGUUUUCAGCUUUCCUGCAUAGUUGCUGAUCUUGAUUUAAUUGUUUUACGUAAGUUAAGAUGUAACUAAAAGAAGAUUUUGUCUCAUCUUAUAGAAUAUCAAAAAAGUUGCUUUUGGCAAUAGCUUAAUAUACAGAUUGUGGUCUCUUAACUCUUUUAUCUCAAGGUUGAUUCAACUCUAUGCGGUCUGAGACCAAACCAGUAAGAUUUUCUUUCUGGUCCUGAGUUUGUUCUGCAGGAUAAGCUAUCCGAGCUAAAGCUAAUUCUCACUCCCAGAAGAUAAUAUCCCCUUGCUCGCCAACUAAACCAAGAUCUUUGAGCCUUCUCUCUUGGUAAUACUCUAAAACAUCGAGCUCAAGCUCUCUAUCCUUGAAGACUUGGUCGAUUUGCUGAAGCACCUUCUUCUCACCAAUCCUUAUCUUAAGAGCAAUGUCCAACCUAUGAUCAAGCUUUCCUUCUUCCAGAAGCUUCUCAUCCUACGAAAGACAAUGAAGACGAGUAAGAAAUAUGACUGUAAAGUCGCUGCAAAUACAGUACAAGAAAGAGCUUGGACAUAUAAGUGUACCUCUUCAAUGGUGGUACUAAAACCAGACAGAGCAGACUUGCAGGCAUCUCUGACAACACGGCAUAUUAGUUCCUCGUUUGAACGGCUUACAGGCAAUUCAAGAUGGCCCCAUAUGGUGUUAUUGAAGAUAGAUUCUAAUAAGAAAGCAUCUGAACCACCAAGAGCCACAAGGCGAAGGUACUGAAGCAUGCCAGCUGGAAGAGUCUGGCCGUCUACUAUGUCAAAGUAGCCAGUCUCGCCCAUCCCGUUAGUUUCAGCGAUAUCCAACUUAUCCCCAAAGAAUGGGUCUGACUCGGGUAUCUCUAUUGUUAAAGUAUAUGAGUUCCGGUUAGGGUUUGAUUCCACAAAACCAUAGUCCAGAGCAAGUUCUGCAUUGCUUUUGUUCAGAUCAUACUGAAUGUAUACCUGUGGAACAGAUCAUCCACACAGCAUUAAAGGGAUUGUUCUUAUACUUUUGAGGGGUUAAACUAAGGUAACAGACUAACAGUGAUUGAAGCUUACCUGCUGACCUGCUUUAACAUAAACAGGUGACUUCAAGGAAAAUAAGAGAUCUCUAGAGAAAAGGCCGGCUCCUUUGAUCUCGUAUGCAUAAUCUUCUGUCGUUAUCGCAGGGUUAUGGUUUAUCUGUCCAAAAUGAAACAUUGUAGUCAGAGAUUCUCUGCUGAGACAAGCAUCAAUGGAUGAAGAUUUGCAACUAAGACAUUAUCUGAAAUAAGAAGAUAGCUGUUGCUUCUUUGGAUAGUUAUUUACAGGAGCAUACCAAAUCAGCAAGUGGGAUCAAGACAAGGUUCUGGCCACGAAGGCGAGAAAAAGCCCUCGACUUGAGAAUCCCAAACGCCCAGAUGAAGUCAUCAAGUGUUAUGCUGGAUGAGAAGAGAUCUUUGUUGGGCAGUAAUAUCUCCUCUUGCAGUUUCAAGAAUUCAUUCUCCACGUACUCUUUGACACCCAAUGUGGUGCUCAACAGUUGAGUCCCUGAGCCACACAACAGAAACCACAAAGUUAAUAAUGUUUUGCUCAAUUGUCCCUUGAUUCAUCAUCAGCCUCUACUAGUCAUCUGUUUAUGGAAAGAAGAAAUGAAAAGGUAAAAGGAUUGACCUUUGAGCUCCGCAAGCUCCUCUUCUGACCUGUACUGGAGCAUUUCAUGAAGAAAACAUAUCAUUAGCUACAAUGCUGAGUGUUGACCAGAGAAACUAAACUUUGAACAAAGAGAAGCUCUACAGUUGCUAUUGAUCAGAGAAGGAGAAAACCCACCAGAAGACAGUAGAAUCAGUAGAUUGAGGAAGCAUAUCAAGAUAAACUCUCCAUGAAGAGUCUUGUGCAUACUUCUCUCUGAUCAAAAACAGAGCAACUGAAACCCACGGCUUCAAUCCGCCGCACAAAGGUCCGAUCUUGGAAGCCGUCACUGUCUCUGGAUUUAUCCACAAUCGCUUGGGAAUUUCCAGUACGACCUCGUUUCUCCCGAUAUCACGCCUGGCUACAAGUCCCAGACCUUCCGGUACCACCGCAGGCUCUGCCGGAGAUUUUCCGGAGACGACUCCUUGGUCUCCCAGCCAUUUCCAGAAGUUACGAACAUUAUCCGGCAAUUCUGAGCUAGAAGCGGAUAUGGGUCUAACCAAAGAUCUCUUGGGUCGAGAAAAGAGAAAGGAAGGGUUUUGAGACUUUUGAGUUGACGGGGAACGGAGAAAUCCUGUCACGAUGGUGACGGAGGCGGCGGAGGCUGACAUGGUGGUUUUCCGUUGGCGGGUAGUAUCACUAGUGAUACAGAGUGUCAGAGUGUGGAUAAAUAUAUCACAGACAUAAGUUUUUUUCUUCUAAGUUGAGAAAGAACAGAGAAAAAAAACUAAUUUUUCUAGUGAAAGAAUCUGAAUGUAAAAGGCCCAUUAUUAUAAAAGGCCAAGGCCUAUAUGUAGCUUUUAUGAAAUUAAAUUAUCUUUGUGUAUUCAAAUUUUUAAUAAAAAAUAGGAAUUUGGAAGGAAACAAAAGAAUAUGCAAAACAUUGUAAAAUGAUCGGCUAAUAUUUCCAACCCUUAAAUCUACUGACAUGACAUUUCAAGACUGUUUGUUUAUAAAACCCCUUAUCCAAGAAAGUGCAACAUGUUUCAAAAGAAGAGAUAUUGGAGACCGACCCAUCAACGUGUCUUCCACUCGUCAUCAUCGAAUCGACAUCGUAACUCAAGACUUCAUUAAUGUUCUUUUGUCUCGCAAUCUUAACAUCAAGUGGCUCUAACUCAAAUGUUUUGAGGCGUCUUAGUGGUUCAGAUCUAAUUGUCCGCUAAUAUACUUAACAUAGUCGUCAUUGAAGAUUCAAAUAUACAAUGUCUUAAUCAUCCUACAAUUCUCCAUGCAAGUCCUCGUACUCACUACUGUCCAUCAAAUAGAAAAUGAGUAUUUUACCAUGAAAUUUAAGGAAUGUAGUAAUUACAUGUAAUGAGUUCAGUUUAUAUCAUAAAAAAAACAAAUGUUAUGACUUAAGUGUAAUUUAAUUGUCUAUUUAAAUUAUUUAUUUUUAAUCGUUAGUUUAAGUGGUUUGAAUAUAAUUUAGUUAUGUACCGAAUUUUUCUACUCAUGGAAUAGUCAAAAAAAAAUUUUUUUGUCAAAAGUGAAUAGUCAAAUAUACAAGGCUCCAUCAAAUCGACGAAUAUUUGUAAUUUGUAAUUAACCGAAUACACUACUGAUCAUACACACUAUCGAUUAAUAUUCUUCUAAGAGUUGUGUUUUAUGAAAAUAAAUAUACGGUAGCUUAAUAGCUACAAUAUCAAUGUACGUAUACUAAAUUGUUUGAACAACAAGCAUUUUCAAUUGAUUUUAAAAAUUAAUAUAAAUCAGUAACUCAUGACUUCAAAUGAGGUUUAUAGUGUAAUAUCUUGUAUAAAUAAUAGUUUUACUAUUGGACAUAUAAUCUAAAUAAUAUAAUGAUAAGCAACAAAGACUUUGAAAGAGUAAACGUUGACGAAACAUAUAAAGAAAGAGUAGUAAACGCUUUGGAGACCCGAUCCAACUAUAUACAAAGCGGAACUUUCCAUUCUCUUGUGUCGGCUUGACCCACAUGAUACGAGAACGAGACCAACACCAGUUACUGUAGUUAGUUUGGGAAUGCAAUGUACUUACUUAAUGUGAUAUCCUAUCAGAAACCUGCUUAUUCAUCAAAACUCUCCUAUGCUUAUUUUGAUUUUGGAAAAUGUAAUUUUUGGUUGGAACUGCAAAAGUCAUGAUUCCUUUUUGUUCCCCGACGACAUAUGACCACUAUUUUGGUGUGUUUUGCCAAUCAUUACCUUUGCAAAGAACUCUCGGUCCAUCAAAUUAAGGCACGAUUUACUUUUUACUCUUGAGAUUUUAUAGACCACUUGGGGAGACUUUGAUUUUGAAUUUGAUGACUCUAUUAGUUUAUGUUUUAUAUGUUAACGAAAAUUUUGAUGUGACUGUUUUAAUCUAGUUGUUUAAUACGCAAUUAGAAUUAUUCGGUUGAAGUGUUCUUUCUUCUUUUUGUCAAAAUAUACUAAUCUUGGUCUUAACAAAAAUAUCAGAUGUGAAAAACACAGAUUCUUAAUAAACCCCGCUAAUUGUGCCGAGACUCGUGUUGUGGUAAUAAACCUGGAAAAAACGAUCACUCAACGCAAUAUAAUAGUUUUAAAUAGGAAAAGACUGAGAAACUUAACUACUUGUCACGACAUAGACCACAAAUGACGUGAUGGUCGGAUCGAGAUACAGACCACGGAUUUGUUCACAAAAUAUCUUUAAUAGUUUUUACUGAAAAAAUAUAAAAACAAAAUAUCUCAUAUUAUAAACACUGCAGAACAUUUAUUAAACUCAACUAAAUAUAUAUUUAUGUACUUAUUAUAUUCUACACUUGACCUAGGUGCUUGCUAGUAUAAUAAAUAAUUUAAAGUGUUUUGAGAAGGUCAAAACGGAUGGCUGGUUUUAUUUUAUCUAGAAACCGUAUUAGCCUAACAUUAAAGAGAUUCAUAUACCUUAUCAACUACUGAUUCUUGUCUUCAUUACUCUUUUACUAUAAAACAAAAUGUUGCUAGAUCCGGGAAAGAGUAUCCUAUGAGAUUAUCUAAGUAUCAUGUAUAUGAGAUGUAAAAUCACUAAUUAGAUGAAUGAAAUUAAAACCAUAUCCUUAUAAUAGGAUAUAUAACACAUAAUGAUGAUGACUUGAUGAUAGCUCAAUGUGAAACUUCUAAAAAUCGACCCCAACAGCUAAGUUGAUGAGAUAUAAAUAACUCGAAAACGACUGGUACUAUUGAUUGUAUGCAUACAUAUACCCAAUUUUGUCACAUUUAUUAAUUAUUAUACCACACAAGGUAUCUUGUAUUGUUUGAUAUAAGGUGAUGCAUUUUUUUCUUGUCGGUUCAAGUAUCAUAUUCAUUCAUUUAUUGAAACCAUAAUAAUUCAACUUUCCAAAACAUAAUUAUUUUGUUUGGUUUUCUAAACAAAACAGGCUAUUUGACCGAAUGAUUGAUUAUACAGUAAUCCGCUUUUUAAGUUCUCUUCUUAAUAACUUGUCAUGACGAUUCUUGUUCAUAAUUUUUUCACGCACGGAUACGUAACUUACGUUUGAUUAGUGCCAUGCAAACUUAAUUUACGUUCAUAAAGAUAAUAAAACAGAAUUACAAAAACGAAUACUUUAAAUCAUACUGCAUACAUAAAGUAAAGCACAAAAUAUUUUUAUCUUUUGCAGUGAUAAUAUUACCAUAUCGACCUUUAGCCGCCCAUUUGGGUCUGACACCGCGACUUGAUAUGGUCGUCCACUAUGACGACGAUUAUCAAAUUUCUCAAGGAUUGACACUGAUUGAUGGAUUAAUUAAUUAUUAAUCCUUUAAGUCAAUAUAAGACUAAUCUUCAUGAAUCUUUAGGACUAAUUUUAACUCCUAUUUGUUUAACAUAAUUCACCUAGAUUUCUUCAACCGGUUGAUCAACGCGGCUUUUUUUUUUCUUCUUCUUCUUAUAUAUCUCUUGCAAGAAUUAGUAAAAUAAAAUGUCCAUAUCUCACCCUAAAAGCCGAAGUAUAAUGUUUGAUCACACUACUGUGUCGUUAAAGUAAAAUAUGGAAAGCUAUUUAUUUGACUAGAAACAUAUAAUUAUUUAUAGCUAAAAAGAGCAAAUACAAAUAUCAAAAAAAGGGGUUUCAAAUUUCUAUAUUUUGAAAAUAUUAGUUAGCAGUACCUACGCGCUUUUUAGUUGCCCUCUCUGAAUACACGUUGAAAAAAAUUCAAUAAAGGUGAUAAAAAAAGCUAUAAAGUUUUUUACUUUGAUUAGAAACAAUUAUUCAAAUCCUAAAAGUUUAUAAUAUCGUCAAAAACAAUCAUAAACGACUUGUCUCUCUUUUGUAUAUAUAGAUAGAUAGGACUCUUCUUCUUUAAGACACACAAGAGUUUAAUAUUUUUUUCUUUCUUUCUAAAACACAUAAACAAGUGAGAUUCAAUCAAGAAAAGAUAGAUUCGAUUCAAGAAUCUAUAAAAAAAAUAUGAAGUUCGGGAAAGAGUUCUCGUCUCAGAUGGUUCCAGAGUGGCAACAAGCUUACAUGGACUACGACUUUCUCAAGAAACGUCUCAAAGAAAUCAUCAGAUUCCAACGCAGAACCAACAAUGCACAUCCUCACGGCGGCGGUGCCAAGAACGCCGGAGGAUUAAACCGGAAAAUGACUCUGUACCGUGCGUUCAGCGGUUUGGUCUCGACGCCGGGAAGACACAAACGCGGGCAUAACCCUCAUGAUAUCGAAGAAGGCGUACAGUUGACGGCAACAGCAACGGCGACGACCCCGGUGCCGAUCCUUGUAAACACAAACUCGAGCCACGGGUGCGAGACGACGUUUCUGAUGGCGGCGGAGGAAGGAGGAGAGUACGAGCUGGUGUUUUUCAGGAGACUGGACGAUGAGUUCAACAAGGUUGAUAAGUUUUACAAAAAGAAAGUUGAAGAAGUGUUGAACGAAGCUGCCAUGCUUAACAAACAGAUGGACGCUUUGAUCGCCUUUCGUGUUAAAGUUGAGAAUCCUGAUGGGUGGCGCUGGGAGGAACGGACGGUGGAGAUUACUCGAUUGGCUUCCGAUAUCGCUACUUCUGCGGCGGCUCUCUCUGCUUCCACUCCCGCCCGAGCUAGAUCAAGUAAGCCAUCGUAUAAUUUAUUACAUAUCUACUCUUCUCACCUAACUCAUAUCCGACUUUUUCGAUAGAAAAUAUCACCAAUUUAUAUUCUUUUAUGUCUAGAUUGAUUACAUUUGAUAGUGCCAACCAAAAAAAUAUACUUAAGGCGGAUACAAAAUCCAGAUUAGAGUUACUUUUUUUUGGUAUUUUAUAUGUUAGUGUUAAAUAUCGUCACUAACAAGUGAACUGUGGUCUGUGACUUUCAAUUAAAAAAAAAAAUUCCAAUUUGAAAUUGAGUAUUCCAUAUAUGUUUGGAUUUAGUGAAAUUCUCAUGAUUGUUUAGUCCAAUGUAACAAGUUUUAGUGGUUAGUAUUAUUAGUUCCACUUGGGUUAAUUUACAUUAACAAAAUUAUUUAAUGUAAUGGAUAAGAUAUGUAUAACACACAUUAACAACUCCCACCACGUAUUAUUUCGUUUUUCAAAAGAUAAUUUAAAGAUUAUGUUUUUGAACAUAACGUUUUGCUUUCAUGCAACUUGUAUAUCAAUUAUUUUACACGGCGCUGUACCAAAACCGGGUUAGAAUUGGUUGAAUUUAAUUCCCGGUCUACGUAAAUGGUAUUCCAGCAUAAUUUACCAAACCGAUAAUUUCAAAAUUGUAGUUAAAGUUCGAAGUCAAGAGCACAUGGAAGCUAUACAAGAAGGAGGGUCGAGCAGAGCUGGGCUAAUGGGAGUUGAUGAAGACGAAGAAGAAGAAGAAGAAAAAGGAACCUCGGUGGUUUCUUCCGGAGCAGUCAAUGACGUGACGACGAGCAGAUUGAGAGCAGCGAGACCAGCUCCUAUCGAUGUCCUCGAUCGAGUCACGAUCAACAACACCAAAGAGACGCCUCGUUCCACCAUUAAAGGAGUUCUCAACGUACCGAAUCAGACUGAGUUAAAAUUCAACAGAGAGAAUCUUAAGAAAGUCGAAGAGAGUCUCAAGCGUGCUUUCAUCGAGUUUUAUCACAAGCUUCGCCUUCUCAAGAACUAUGCGUAAGUUUUGGUUUCUCUAAAGUUUGGAUUUUUAUUUUUUUGAUGAUUGAUGGGUUUUGAUUAUGAAUAUUCGUUAAUGUUAAUGCAGCUUUUUGAAUGUAUUGGCGUUUUCGAAGAUAUUGAAGAAGUAUGAUAAGGUAAGAUUUUGAGUUUUUACUUUUAUUUUGGAGGGUUUUAUAUGUUUCAGAAUGACUGUAAUGUGUUCGACGAAAUGUUUUUUUUUUUUUUACAGAUAACGUCGAGAAAUGCAACGAGAACUUACAUGAAAGUGGUUGAUAGUUCGACCUUGGGAAACUCUGAUGAGGUAAGAUACUCUGUUUUUUUUUUUUGUGAUUUUUCUUAUUUGGAUAAGUAACUUCUUCAAUUCCUCUGUUUCUUAUUCUUAUAUCGAUGCUCUGUUAUGGACAGGUUAUGAGACUCAUGGAGCGAGUUGAAGCAACAUUCAUUAAGCAUUUUGCUAACGCUAAUCGAACAAAAGCAAUGAACAUUUUGCGACCUAAAGCAAAACGAGAGAGACAUAGAACUACAUUUUCUACUGGUAAGCAAACACUGUAACUUGCAUAAAAUAGUAGUAUUGUUUUUUUCAAAUAUGUGGCGCUUAUGAGGAUAUUGGUUUCAGGUUUCACGGCUGGAUGCGUUUUCUCUCUUAUUGUGGCUCUUGUUGCCAUCAUCCGCACCCGACAUCUCUUGGAAAAGGAAGGCCAAAAGGAAUACAUGAAUACUAUGUUCCCUCUUUAUAGGUAAGAGCUUAGUAACCUGGUCAUCUUAAGAGUUUAUAUCAAGCAUUUGAGUUGGAAUGUAUUCUUCUUUUUUUUUGGUUUAAGAGUUGGAGUGUGAUGUUUAGAAUCUUGUCUUUGUUGCUGUUUCUUGCAGCUUAUUCGGGUUUAUCGUGCUGCAUGUCAUCAUGUAUGCUGGUAAUGUAUACUACUGGAGGCGAUACCGAGUUAACUAUUCCUUCAUAUUUGGGUUCAAGCAAGGAACUGAACUUGGAUACAGACAAGUCCUACUUGUGGGUUUCAGCAUUGGAGUCUUUGCAUUGCUCUGUGUUCUUGCCAAUCUUGACAUGGAGGCAGACCCCAAAACGAAAGCCUAUCAAGCCAAAACUGAACUUCUUCCUCUUGUCCUACUUGGUGUAAGUCCCAAAACCCUCAAAUCCGAGUUUUUCAAACUUCUUUACUAAAAAACAGUGACAUAAUAACUCAGUGAUGUUUACUUUUGCAGGCUAUGUUCAUGGUUUUAGUCCUGCCAUUCAACUUCUUUUAUCGCUCGAGUCGGUAUUUCUUCCUCACUUGUCUGUUUCAUUGCCUUGCCGCUCCUCUUUACAAGGUAAAUCAGAGAUGGAAUAUGCUUAUUGACCAAAGAGAAUGCUGUUAAUUUUCUAUUCCACUAGGUAUUGACGGUCCAAUUUUUUCCUUUUCCCUUGCAGGUUACAUUGCCUGAUUUCUUCUUGGGAGAUCAAUUAACUAGCCAGGUUCAAGCGCUUCGAAGCAUUCAGUUCUAUAUAUGUUAUUAUGGCUCGGGAGACUACAGAAAGAGAGAAAACACUUGCAAAGAUUCUGAUGUCUACAGCACUUUCUUGUUCAUUGUUGCUGUCAUCCCUUAUGCCGCUCGCCUCCUUCAGGUACACAUAGUCACUUCCCUCAAAAAUAAGAAUCCCAAAUCUAGCAGUCUAUAACAAAACCUUGUUACUCAUACAGUGCCUGCGACGGCUAUUUGAGGAAAAAAACCCGGAACAAGGGUACAACGGAAUCAAGUAUUUCUUGACUAUAGUGGCAGUUUGCUUGAGAACAGCUUACAGCAUCCAAAAAGGUCAAGUUGCUUGGAGGGUUUUAGCCGCUGUCUUCUCAUUUAUAGCUGCAGUAUACUGCACUUGGUGGGACUUUGUUCAUGAUUGGGGUCUUUUAAACCGGACAUCCAAAAACCGUUGGCUUCGAGAUAAACUCCUCAUUCCUCAGAAGAAAGUAUAUUUCAUUGCCAUGGUGAGUAUCAAAAACACUUUUUAUUAAGUCAAAGAUGUUUUAUAGCAACUGAUCUAAGAACAUGUACCAGGUUGUGAAUGUCCUUCUGAGAUUUGCGUGGAUCCAGACGGUUCUGGAUUUCCACUUUUCCUUCAUGCAUAGACAGACGAUGGUUACCAUUGUCGCUAGUCUUGAGAUCAUUCGUCGUGGUAUUUGGAACUUCUUCAGGUGAAAAAAACUUCAAAACUCACAUUACACUGACACCACAAAAUGUGUUGCAUUAAUAUUCCAAUUAGUAACUCUCUGUUUUUUUGUUUGGGUUGUGGAAAACAGAUUAGAGAACGAGCAUUUGAACAAUGUUGGGAAAUACCGAGCCUUCAAGUCGGUUCCAUUACCAUUCAACUACGAUGAAGAUGACGAUAAAGACGAUUAGUAGUUUCAGAAGACCCGUGAAUACAAUACUCUUUAGCUACGCAGAGACCAUCAAAUUGCUGACACGGUCUCUCUUCUUUUUUUGUUCUGUCAGAUGAGAAUUGUAGGGAUGCAUCAGUUGCAUAUCACAUAUAUAACACAUAAGGUUCGAUCUUUAGUGGGUAAUUCGUGUAAAAAACAUAUUCUUCAGAUUGUUCGUUCAUUUCGGUUUAUAUGAUUCUUUCUAUUCAACUUUGCUCUUCGUACCUAAUUUGUGAACUGUAUCUGAUAUUAGUUUGCAAAAUCAAUCACACGUUGAGCCAAAAUAGUUGAAAGAAUGUGUUGAACAAGACGGGCCACACCAAUUAUAUUCUUUUUCAGACAAUAACAAUAGAAAGGAAGAAAAAACAUCCAGAAUAUUAUCCAGAAUGUGUUGCUUUGAGAUUUGGGAUUGGAACUCUCCAAGUAACAGAGGAAGACGAUGGAUUAGGGUUCAAAUAAUUUUCUGAUGGUACUAUUAAUUAAGAACCGUACAUGUGAAAUCUGCUACAAAAUAUUCCUUUUGUAAUUCUACCUCUCAUUAUUUUAUGAACGUACGAUUACGGUUGCAUGGCAAAUUACGAAUAGGAAAUAAAUACAAUAUCGAGAAGAGAAUUACGAAUAGGAAGGAAUCAAGCAAAUACAAGAUUAAGAAGAGUAUUAACAACCGGAUAGUAUCAUUUGGUCAGUCGGUCAAAUAUAUAGCCUGUUUUUUUUUUUUUAAAUCCAAACAACAAAAUUAUAACUAAACCGGGUAGUAUCAUUUGGGAUUUGCAACAAUUUUCAUCUUUUCAAGUCAAGUAGAGGCCUAGAGGGGUUUCACUGAGGAGGGAGACUUUAGCCCCAACAAAACCAAGACUAGCAUAUAUUUUUUUUUACCUUCUUCACAAUUGUGAAACAAAACUAGCGCUAGUGUAUCUUAAGCACGAAUUGAAACAACAAAAUAAUCACAUUCAAAUAAAGAAAUAGCUAGGGAAACCACAAGAAGAGGCCAACAAAGUAAUAUUAUUAAGAGCAAAUUAUCUCUAGAAUCAUAUGGAAAAAUAAGAUUAGUAAUUCAGAUGGAAACCAUAUCCAAUUUUUGCUCCAAAAGAAAAAAAAAAACACUCAGCUUGCUUCCGAGAGAAAGACUUGAAGCUCAUUCUCCAUGUGUUCUUCAGCAGUUUUCUUGGCCUCGAGAAUGGGACGAUAGUAAUCGGAGUGAGCGUCCAUACACUUGGUCAUCCUAGAAAAAACUCCAGC